CAAUCGCUGCUAUCUCUACAGCCACGCUACCGCAUAUAUUUCCCGAACUCAAAUGGUAUUACAUAUAUUGGUUAUCUACAUCUUUGCCCCAGCCCUUGCAUUCUGUAAUGCUUAUGGCUGUGGCCUCACUGACUGGUCCCUAGCUUCCACCUAUGGGAAGCUUGCAAUUUUUGUAAUUGGGGCAUGGGCUGGUGCCUCUCAUGGUGGAGUUCUUGCAGGACUAGCGGCCUGUGGAGUCAUGAUGAAUAUUGUCUCCACAGCCUCCGACCUCUCUCAAGAUUUCAAGACUGGUUAUCUAACCCUUUCUUCACCACGGUCCAUGUUUGUGAGCCAACUAAUUGGCACUGCAAUGGGUUGCAUUAUUUCACCUUGUGUCUUUUGGCUGUUUUUCAAGGCCUUCAAGGAUCUUGGGACUCCUGGAAGUCAAUACCCUGCUCCUUACGCUACUGUAUAUCGAAACAUGGCUAUAUUGGGGGUAGAUGGAUUCUCGUCUCUGCCAAAGAAUUGCCUCUAUCUUUGUUAUGGGUUCUUCGGCGCUGCUAUUCUGAUAAAUUUAAUUAAGGAUGCAUUGGGUAAGAAAUGGGCUAGGUUCAUUCCUAAUCCAAUGGCGAUGGCUAUACCUUUCUAUAUUGGCUCAUACUUUGCCAUCGACAUGUGUGUGGGAAGCUUGAUUCUAUUUAUCUGGGAAAAGAUUGACAAGGCAAAGGCAGAUGCUUUUGGGCCAGCAGUGGCUUCUGGUUUGAUUUGCGGGGAUGGGAUAUGGACUUUGCCUAGUGCGAUACUUGCUCUAGUAGGAGUAAAACCUCCCAUUUGCAUGAAGUUUCUGUCAAGGAGAACAAAUGCUAAGGUCGAUGCGUUCUUAGAGUCAUAAAGUCGAAGUUGAGAUCAACUUGAAUAGAAACUGUGAAGUAAAGCUGAAUUGCUUCCCAGACUAAGGUUAUGAAGUUUACAUGUGAAGUUCGACUCAAAAAUGCUGUAGAUAAUCAAUCACCUGCUAUUUCGUGGAGCCAACCACUAUUUUCGCUAUAAUCUUUUCUGGAGAAGAAAAUCAAAUGUCCAUUUACUUAUAUAUGUUUGUAGUUUUUUUCUAGUCUAGUUUGAAGAAGGUUGUAGAACAGAUACAUCAAGCAAUGUGAAAGGUGAAAAUUACAAUACCCUUUGUGAGCUGUUAUGAUCAGUUGCUAUAUUUGGUAUCAGGUUUGCUCAUUUUGCUAGCUAUGAUCAUAUCAGGUGGUCCGAUUAAUGUGGCAUUGGAAUGGCCUUCUAGUUAUUAGCAGUCUCACAAUAAAACCAUGCCAGACUUGGUUAUCCAACCCGAGAAAAAAAAAAAUUGGAAAAAAUAUCAGAUUCGUCGAGGAAGACGAUAAAAGCUUCAGCGAAUAAGAUACUUGUAACAAAUAUUUUACCUAGGUUUUUCCUAAGAAUAUGAAAAGAAGCUGAAAAAUAGACAAGCUUUUCCGUAGUCUCAGGGAGUGUUUGGGGCUGCGUUUGUAGUUGUAUUUUGGUAAAUUUAAUUAUUAUUUUUUUGUUAAAAUUGAGUGUGGUUUGUAUUUUUUUGGAUCGUUUUGAUGUGCUGAUAUCAAAAAUAAUUUUUAAAAAAUAAAAAAACAUCAUUGACAUGCUUUUCGACACGAAAAUCUAUUUGAAAAACAACUACUAUCACAUUGUCAAACAUACUCUGAGGGAGUGAAGUACAUAAAGAGGUUAUCAUACGUUCUUCCCCAUGCAAAUAUAUAUUCAUAGUUAAUUAUCAUAGAAUCCUCAACUCUCCAUCUUCAAUCUCAAUCUUUGUAAGGCAAGAUCCUGCAUUGUUUUUUUGAGUUAAGUUUAAAUUAAAUAACGUUAAAUUAUUUAUUUUAAACUUGUAUUUUUUAUUCGCUUAUUUUAUUUUUAUUUAACAAAUUUCUCUGCAAGAUUGCUUGAUUUGUGUUAUGAUGUUAGUAUUUAGUAAACAAGUAAUUAGAAAAAUAAUCUCUGAUUAAUUAUGUUGAGAAGUAAAAACCCAACGUAUAUAUAAUUAAUUGGACAUUGUUUAAAUCUUCCACGCACGUUACAUCCAAGUCAAUUUCUUUAUUUCUUAUACCAUUUUUUCCCACAAACUUUGGACACUGGACAUACACAGAUUUUUUAUUUUCCUUUUUUUUUUUUUUUGGAAAUGAGCCAAUUGACUAUUGACUUCUCGUCUUCUACAAAUUAGAAAUAGAAGCUUUUGGCAUGGGAUUAGUGACCAUUUGGUAACUUGAUUAAAACAUUCCUUUUAAAAAAAAAAAAAAUUAAGGAAUAGCUAAAUAGUGACAAGUUUUGGGUUUACUCUCCAAUCAAAGUGAAUGAAAGCUUAUUUAUUUGUUAAUUUCUAGAUUUAUAAAAUUAAUUAAUGUAUGCGUAAGAUGACUCGGACACCCGCAUUAAUAAAAAUAAUUCUUUUAAAAUUUUAAUUUUUAAAUUAUUUUAAAAACAAUUUAUAUCACAUUUCUAAUCUAGCUCUUCAAAGUACCUACAUACCCCUACACACACAUACACACAUAAUAUAUAUAUAUAGGCUCAGCUCAAACACAUGUGAUUUAGGAUCACUUUGUUGUUUUAAACUUUUAAAAAAUAUAAUAUUAAUUAUUUUUUAAAAUAUUUUUUAUUUAAAAAAAUUAUUUAAAUUAUAUUUUAAAAUCAUUUUAAAAACAAUUUCUACUAUAUUUUUAGUAUAGCUCUUCCAAGUAUCACAUAUAUAUAUACAUAUUACAAACUCAAUUCAAUCAAAUAUUAUUUAGGAUAAUUUGUUAUUUUAGAGAGUGUUUAAAAAUAUAGUACUUAUUAUUUUUCAAAGUAUUUUUUUUAAGAAAAUAUCAAAAUAAUAUUAGCAUAUUAAAAUAAUUAAAAAACAUUAAAUAAAAUUAAUUUAAGACUUAAAAAAACAGACAUGCAACGACCCGUUUUAACUCCUCAUGUUCAUCGUCUUCAAUUCGCCUGUAAUGUGUUGAGCAAUAGUCACAACUCACAACCACUUAUUAAACAAGGUAAUGAAGAAUCAUUAUGAUUGUGAAAGAGACGACACCAAGGUAUAAGUGGUGUGUAAGGAUGCCUUGGGUAAGAAACGUGCUAUGUUCAUUCCCAAUCCAAUGGCAACGGCUAUACCUUUCUAUAUUGGCUCAUACUUUGCCAUCGACAUGUGCGUGGGAAGCUUGAUUCUAUUUAUCUGGGAAAAGAUUGACAAGGCAAAGGCAGAUGCUUUUGGGCCAGCAGUGGCUUCUGGUUUGAUUUGCGGGGACGGGAUAUGGACUUUGCCUAGUUCGAUACUUGCUCUAGCAGGAGUAAGACCUCCCAUUUGCUUGAAAUUUUUGUCAAGGAGAACAAAUGCUAAGGUCGAUGCAUUCUUAGGGUCAUAAAUUUGAAGUUCAGAUCAACUUCAAUAGAAACUGUGAGUUAGAGCUGAAUUGCUUCCCAGACUAAGGUUAUGAAGUUUACAUAUGAAGUUCGACUAAAAAAUGCUGUAGAUAAUCACCUGCUAUUUCGUGGUGCCCAGUGGCGGAGCCACGUGGGGACAAAAGGGGGCAAUUGCCCCCUCAACUUUUUUUUUUUUUUAAUUUAUAUGUAGUUGAAAGUGUUAGCUGAUCAGCACCAGCUUACCAAAAUGAAAAUGAAAACUGAAACAGGAGAUACCAAAAUUUAUAUUUAGGGAAUUUACUGCAGGGAAGGAAAAAGGAAACAUGCAUUGUUUAUAAUUGUAGGCUUAUAAUAUAAUAUAGUAUAUAUAAACAGCUUAUUGCACAAUUUUUUUUUCUCCUUUUGUUUCCAUAUUAAAUUGAUGGUACCAGCUUUAAAAUAUGGAAUUCCUAGCUAUCAAAGAGUAUUUUUUGUUCCCUGCUUUUGCCGCGUUGUUCUUUUCUUGAGUUGCUCUGCCGCUUUGUUCUUUUCAUGAGCUGUUGUUCUUUGUCUCUCUCACAUGCAAAUUUCUCAUCAAGUAUAGGUAAUCAAUUAAUCUUUUUUGCCUUUUGCUUUAUAUUUUAGGUAAAUUUUCUUUAUUUAUUUCAUUGUUUAAUUUUAUUUUUAUUUUUUUAUAAUUAGUUAUUAAAAAUAGUAGGGUUUAUGAUAAUUUAUGGGUUUUGAUAUAAAUAUGUUCAAAAUAAAUGUUUAAAUCUACUAAUUUAAUCAAUUAAAUAUUUCUUUUCUUAUUAUAAAAGAAUAAAUUAAUAUUCAUGCAAAACCACUAUUUUUGACAUCUCUUGCAUUGGCAGAGUAUUUUAUUGAAAUUUAAUAUUUUCAUAUGACUUGUUUGUAAGUAAAAUAUCAAGUAGAAAGCAUGUUUUUCAAGAAUUGUUUCUCUUACACAUACACUAGGCAUUGCUCCUCAAUUAAAUAUCUAGAAAUAAUUAAGUAUAAUUUAAUCAACAAACUUAUUAUAUGUAUAUAGAUAUGAAUUGAAAUAGGUUUUGAUUUUGAUGAAUUGAUGUGUAUUUUUCUAUGAAUUUCAUAUGAAAGAUUUAGAAUUAUUGUGUAACUCAACUGAUUUUUAUUUAACAGUGAAUUAUUAUAUAGUUGUGUUAAUUAUUAUGUAGACACUAAUGAUGAUAAAAAAAUUCCAGCAGGUUCAUAUUAAAUUAACAUGUCACUAGACAAGUAUUUCAAGCAUAAAUCCCUUGAGGAUGAAGAAUUAGUAUAUAUGCUUUGAAUUGAUUUCUAAUAGAUAUCUAUAUAAUUUAGUAUUUAUUAAUAAUUUGCCCUCUCAUUGAAAAAACUCUGGCUCCGCCACUGGUGGUGCCAACAACUAUUUUCUUUGAAAUCUUUUCUGGAGAAGAAAAUCAAAUGUCCAUUUACUUAUACAUGCUUGUUAGUCAAUCCUUGAAAAUAUGCUUGUAGUUUUUUUCUUGUCUAGUUUGAAGAAGAUAAUGGAACAGAUGAAUCAAACAAUGUGCAAACGGAAAAUCACUGUACCCUCUGUGAACUUUAAACAUAAUAUCAAAAGUGAAUGUGCAAAUAUUACAGGUUGCAGGCAUGUUUAUUUUGAACAUAUUGCAAUUAUCGUUGUUGAUUUCUUCUUCCUUAUUCGUAUCCGACCUUCCAGAAUCACACCCAAGACCGCUGUUGUUAUCCUGGGUUGCUGCUUUACUGCCUUCAAUUCCUCAGCUGUUGUUUUGCUGUUUGAUGUUAUCACAGCUUUUGCACCAGUAUGUAUUAUCUUUGGAUUUUACUCAAUCUGGUAAGGUUAUGAUCAGUUGCUAUAUUUGGUAUCAGGUUUGGUCAUUUGUAUAUAAAUUAUAUUUGCUAUGCAUAUAAAGAUUCAAUUCCUAAUAUUUGUAUCAAGAUAUUAAUAACCAACAAGUAUGUCGACUUAUAAAUACACAAUUAGCUAGCUUCUUUUUCUUCUUUGAGAUAAGUGAAGAAACUUCAUUAAUAGCAUAACAUCGGCAAAUCAAAGUAAGUUAUUUACACGUUUUUUUUUUUUCUAGUUUGUUUUUGGUUUUUAAUUUUUUUAAUGAAAUCUUUAAUUUUCCUUCGAACUUCAAUAUCUAAUGUAAUUAAGCUCUUGAUAUGACCAAAUUAACUCUUAUAAAUUGCAAUUCAAUUCCUAAACUUUAAUUUUUUUCAAUUAAAAUCUAAAUUUCCUUAAAAAAUUAUUUUUUUCUUGUAAUUAAAACCUCUAUAAAUUCAAUUAAACCUUCAACUAAAUCUAAUUGAGUCCUUAAACAUCCAAUUUUAAAUUUCUCUUUCUCAAAUUGAAUUUUCUUUGCCGAUAAGGUCUUCAUCAAUUAAAAAUAUAUGGUAAAUUUCAAUCUUUGUAUUUUUUUUUUUAUCUUUCUCAACUUAGUUUUGGCUAUUUUUGGGGCGUUUUGAUAUACUUUUCCCACUUAUAUAUUUUUUUUCGUUUUCUUACAAUAAUUUUUAAAUUUUUUUGUAUUUUUUCUCUUUUUUUUCUUUUUGUGUGGGGACCCAAUAAAAUAGGUAAAAACAAAGAUAUUAAUAAACCAACAAUGCAUUAAAGUAUGUCGACUUCUCAAAAAAAUAAAAGUAAAAAACCCUUAUAAAUACACAAUUAGCUAGUUUUUUUUCUUUUAGAUAAAUGAAGAAACUUUAUUAAUAGCAUAACAUUGGCAAAUCAAAGCUAGCAAGGUGAAGAAUUAAUGGGUACAAAUGCCAAAAAGCAUGGGAAAAGAAAACAUGGCAAUAGUAAGUAACCUAAACCAACGAAGGACACGUAAAUAAUUACCAUGGAUAAAUUAAGUAGCUAUGCCUUCAAACUAAUAGAAGGAUAAACGAUUACUCACUGACGUAGCGGAAGCUUCUGUGGAAAUAGGUUGCUACCUGUUUCCGGGAACAAAGUGUUCGAAUCCACGAACCAAGAAAGUUUCACUCGAAUCUACGAGUUUAGCACUUAUAAUUCUCAAAGAGAAAGUUUUGUAUUAAAUUCAAAAGUGCCUUACAAUAAAAAGUGGCAGCCUUUAUAUAGGCUGCAAGUUUUAAUUCGACUAGGACUAUAAUUGUUUAGGAAAGAAAUAACUGGAAUAAAGAAAACAAAUACUAUAGCUAGGAAAGUAAAUAAUUCCUGAUGUUACGACAUUAAUGAGGACUCCUAACUAAGGUGGUAAUCUGCUAGAAGAAUACUCCAAUGAUAACUGCAAUUCCUGAUUUCUCUGCAUUUAUAUUAUGCCCUGCAAUCUGCUGUCUCCUGCGAUAUGCUCUUCCUCUCCUUUUAUAGACUGUUCUACAUCAGUCUCCCUUGCAUAAAAAGAACUCGACCCCGAGUGAGGUAAAUGAGAAGGUGCCAUAUCCGGAGGAUGAUACUCGUACAAAUCUGCCACGUUGAAAGUAGGGGAAAUGGCCAUUUCUGCUGGAAGGUUGACAACAUAGGCGUUGUCAUUAAUCUUCUGAAGGAUCUGGAAAGGUCCAUACUUCUUGUCCUGCAGCUUGUUGUAUCUUCCUACAGGUAGGCGUCCUUUGCGCAAAUAGACCAUCACAAGGUCUCCUUCUUGAAAGGUUUGGACCCUCCGUUUUUUAUCUGCUGCAGCUUUGUACUUGGCAUUAGAAGCCUCUAAGUUUUGUCGCACUUCUUCUUGAAUGGACUUUAUACGGUCUGCCAUAUGUUCUGCUGCAAUGCUUAAACCUGGAAGUUUUGGUAGAGGAACUAAGUCCAACGCAUGGCGUGGUGGAGAACAAUAAACAAUCUGAAAGGGUGUUUUUCCAGUGGACCGGUUGAGCAUACUGUUAUAAGCAAACUCAGCUUGUGCCAACAUAACAUCCCAUUGUUUUGGUUUUGUUCCAGAGAGGCAGCGAAUCAGAUUCCCAAGAGUGCGGUUUACUACCUCUGUCUGGCCAUCAGACUGAGGAUGGCUGGUACUGCUAAAAUUUAGAGACGUGUCAAACCGUCGCCAUAACGUUCGCCAAAAAUGACUCAAGAACUUUGUGUCUCUGUCUGAAGUGAUGGACUUGGGAACCCCAUGCAGACGCACCACCUCCUUGAAAAAUAAAUUUGCUACGUGCACGGCAUCGGCAGUCUUCUUACAAGCAAUAAAAUGAGCCAUCUUGGAAUACCUGUCGACCACCACAAACACUGAAUCAUAUCCGCGUUGGGUUCGCGGUAGGCCUAAGAUAAAAUCCAUCGAAAGAUCCUCCCAAGGUGCUGCUGGGAUAGGCAAUGGCAUAUACAAACCGGUAUUUUGGGACUGUCCCUUAGCAGCCUGACAUAUGGGACACCGUUUAACAUAGUUGCCGAUGUCUCUUUUUAAUUGGGGCCAAUAAUAUCUCUCUUCAGCAAGGGCUAUGGUUUUGUCACGCCCCAAGUGUCCCCCCAAACCUCCACUGUGCAAGUCAUGAAUUAUUUGAGCUCGUAGUGAGCUCCUGGGUAUGCAUAAUCGUUACCAUGGAAUAAGUAGUCUUCCUGGAUAUGCAGGUUCUCUACAGGAAGCCCGGCUUGGCACUUUGCCCAACUAGCUUGAAAAUCUUCAUCUCCAGCGUACAGUUCUUUGAGGCAAUCAAACCCAAUGACUUCAUUUUGGAGAGUGACCAGUAGCAAUGUCCUUCGGCUGAGAGCAUCAGCUGCUCGGUUUAGUCGUCCAGCCUUAUGUUGCAGUGUGAAUGUGAAGCGUUGAAUGAAGGAAAUCCAACGGGCAUGCAUUCUGUUAACACUAUUCUGACUGUGAAGAAACCUUAGUGCCUGAUGGUCGCUGAAUAAAACAAAGUCGCGGGCUACUAGGUAGUGCUCCCAAACUUUUAAGGCUCGAAAGACAGCAUAUAAUUCCAGCUCAUAGGUGGACCACUUCUAGCGAGCUUCACUGAGUUUUUCACUGUAGAAAGCGACAGGUUGCCUUCUUGAGACAACACACCAAUACCCACGAUGGAGGCAUCACACUCUACUUGAAAUAAUUUAUCAAAAUUUGGGAGUGCCAGUGCUGGGGCCGAUGAAAGUUUUUCUUUGAUAAGUUUGAAGCUCUGCUCUGCUGCGUCUCCCAAUAGAAUUUCCCUUCUUCAUGCACUCAGUAAUGGGUGCGACUAUUCGGCUAAAAUCUCUAACAAAUCGUCUGUAAAACGUUGCUAGUCCAUGAAAACUACGGACCUCGCCUACUGUUCGCGGAGUCGGCCAAUCACGAAUGGCGCCAAUCUUUUCUUCAUCCACUUUAAUUCCGUCAGCACUUAUUAUAAACCUCAAGAAUAGCAAGCUACUGGUCAUAAAACUGCACUUUUUCAAAUUAACGUACAACUUAUUUUGUUGCAGAAUUUUGAGUACUUCUCUCAAAUGCUCAACAUGGUCAGCUUGGGUUUGGCUGUAGAUUAAUAUAUCAUCGAAGUAUACCACCACAAAUUUUCCCGUGAUCGGCUUCAAUACCUGGUUCAUAAACCGCAUGAAAGUACUGGGUGCAUUGGUUAACCCGAAUGGCAUUACUAGCCACUCAUAUAAGCCCUCCUUUGUUUUAAAAGCAGUCUUCCACUCGUCUCCUGGUCUGAUCCGAAUCUGAUGGUACCCGCUUCGCAAAUCGAGUUUUGAAAAGACCUUGGACCCGGACAACAUGUCCAACAUAUCUUCUAAACGAGGGAUAGGGAAUCUGUAUUUAAUUGUGAUCUUGUUGAUUGCUCUGCUGUCGAUACACAUGCGCCAACUACCAUCCUUCUUUGGCACUAACAAAGCUGGUACUGCACAAGGGCUCAUGCUCUCCUGCACUAAGCCCUUCUCGAUAGUUCUUCUACCUGUGCUUGCAGAGUCUGACUUUCUUUAGGAUUCAUCCGGUAGUGGGGACGAUUUGGCAAACUCGCUCCUGGCGUGAAAUCGAUCUGAUGUUGUAUGUCUCGUACAGGAGGUAAUCCAUUAGGUAGGUCUAACGGCAUCACCUCCUGAAAUUCCUCCAGCAAUGGUAGUAGUGUGGGUGGAAUGUCAACAGAAUCCCUGCCAACUUCUCCUCUUAAUACUACAAAAAAAUCUCUCUGGCCGCCUUAGUCUCCUCCAUGAAUUUGCCCCCAUCCACUAGCAAUACUGGCUUUCCUUGUGGCUUCGGUUUGAUGCUGGAAAAAUCUUCUUUGAUAGGACCAGAACGACCUUCAGGCCCCCCUUUACGAAGACGUAAACAUUGUCACGACCCCUGUAAGUGGCAUCUACAUCAUACUGCCAGGGACGUCCAAGUAUUACAUGGCAAGCAUCCAUUUCCACUACGUCACAUGUAACCUCAUCUGCAUAAUUCUUCCCAAUUGAGAAUUUAAUGUGGCAGACUUCAGUCACUUUGACUUCAGCGCCACGUUUGAUCCAGCCUAUUUUAUACGGUGCAGGAUGCUUCCUAGUUUGCAAUCCCAGUUUAGUAACCAUUGCUUUUGACACUAUAUUCUCGCUACUGCCACUGUCAAUGAUAAUAUCACAGACCCUUUUGUUCACAGUGCACCUAGUUCUGAAUAUAUUAUGCCGCUGGGAGGGUUCUUCUCGUUUUGGUGUCAACAGUAGUCGUUGAACUACAAGAGACCGUGACAAUAGCUCUCCCUCGUCACCCCCUGUUACUUCUUCCUCCUCAUACGUAUAGGCUGCUCCGUUUUCAUCUUUCUCAGUGUCGAAGGGGUACUCUUCUUCUGGCUCUAUUAGGUGCACAUUACUCCUUCUUGGGCACUGGUUGGAACGGUGUCCUGGCUGUCCACAUCUAUAACAUUUAUCCGAACUGGGACGGGCAUAAGGAUUCCUGGGCGUUACCUCGGGUGGAAUGGUGUUAGCAGACUUUGUUGGUGCUCCACUGCUGCUUGUUCCUCGUACAAUGUUAGAGAAGGAGUGUUGAGUUGUUGAAGUCAGUGGGGUCAUUGGAGUCUUCCCUUUAUUGCUGGUUGCUCUAUUAUGAUCGAAUGGAUUCCUGGCCCCACCCAUUGCUUUUGAUUUGUCUAAUUGGGUCUCUGCUUUGAUAGCCAGUGCCACGGCUUCUGUUAGGGUGUAAAUUGUUUGCAUUGCCACACGAUCCUGUAUGGCCCAACGCAGACCUCCCACAAACCUGGCAACUUGUUGUGCCUCUGUUUCCAGCAGGUUAUUUCGUGAUGAUAGCCUAUGAAAUUCUUCUAGGAAAGCUUCCACGGUUCUAGUUCCUUGCCUACAUUCCUGAUAUUGUUUAAACAAAAUUUGCUCGUAGUCUGGUGGUAGAUAACGAGAACGUAACAAUCGUUUCAUUUUAUUCCAUGUUUGAACCAUCCCCUUCCCUUGUCGCAGUCGGGUGCUUUGUAGUUGCUCCCACCAGGCAGAAGCUCCCCCCAAGAGUCUAUAUGCGACUAACUUCACCUUUUUAUCUUCAGGAAUGUCCAUGUAAUCGAAGAACCUCUCAACUAGUACCAGCCAAUCAAGGAACCCUUCAAUCUGCAGUUGUCCGUUAAAACUGGGUAGAUCCAUCUUCAUUCGAAACAUCUGUCGGUCUAGUUCCCUUUGAUACCCUCUCCGGUUUCCCCGGAGUAUAGCUUCAGCUUCUUCCUCAUCCUCACUUAGGUUGUCCUCAUAGAUUGGUUGCCUUCGUAGGAUUCCUGGAGGGCGUUCACUAGUUGCAGCCCUUUCUCGGUGAUGUUGACGAACUGGAGAGUUGUUGAUCCCCUGAUUAUUCCCUGUUGUCAGCCUAGCAAGGGCUGUUUGGAUAUCACGUAGGGUUUGUUGUGUCUCAUGCUGGAAAAUUCUGAAUUCAGCUCCUGUAACCAAAUUAUCCUCGCGGUCACCGCCGCCAAGGUUUUCGCUUUCGUUGCGUAGGUUUGCCAUCUGACAGGAUUAUGCCUGCUCUGAUACCAACUGACGUAGCGGAAGCUUCUGUGGAAAUAGGUUGCUACCUGUUUCCGGGAACAAAGUGUUCGAAUCCACGAACCAAGAAAGUUUCACUCGAAUCCACGAGUUUAGCACUUAUAAUUCUCAAAGAGAAAGUUUUGUAUUAAAUUCAAAAAUGCCUUACAAUAAAACGUGGCAGCCUUUAUAUAGGCUGCAAGUUUUAAUUCGACUAGGACUAUAAUUGUUUAGGAAAGAAAUAACUGGAAUAAAGAAAACAAAUACUACAGCUAGGAAAGUAAAUAAUUCCUGAUGUUACGACAUUAAUGAGGACUCCUAACUAAGGUGGUAAUCUGCUAGAAGAAUACUCCAAUGAUAACUGCAAUUCCUGAUUUCUCUGCAUUUAUAUUAUGCCCUGCAAUCUGCUGUCUCCUGCGAUAUGCUCUUCCUCUCCUUUUAUAGACUGUUCUACAUCACUCACUCAUCAUACGAUUAGGUCAAGUCACCUCUCCUAACUCCUCCCCCCAUCAAACUUCGUUGCUGCAGGUUCACCGAUUUUGCAAGUACCAUCUUUGGGGUCAUAUUUGCAUGGAGCCCUAGGAGCAGUUAGGUAAGAACAUGAUAACAAAAUAAUGGUAACAAGGAGUAUUAUUGUCAAGUAUCGAGUCUUUCCUUGAGACCCCAUUUUUUACACGAAAGAAACCUGAGAUUUUUAGGGAAUCAAAUGUAUGUGUAGAGAGCGAGCUAGUCUGCGAGAUGGGUGAUUGUAGAGAUGGAGAGGGUUAGCUAGCUAAUAUAUGAGACACGAUAUGUUGAAUUGGAAAAGUAUUCAGCAUUUAAAUUGAUUUCAAAAACUAUUCCAAUAUGUUGAAUUGGAAAACUAUACUUUCCUCGAAAUUGUUUCUUAUUAUUUUCUUCGAAGCAGUUGUGACUUGUGACAUAGGUUGAAAUUAACAUUAAACGGGAGUAAUGUGGAUCAUGUCCAGGUUGUUUUAGUAGUCAAAUAAAUAAAAUUUCUAUGAUAUUUGUGUUUUUAAUCUUCUGGCGUGGCCCUUUAGAAACAAACAGUCAAAACCUGUUUAAGUGCCUGUUUUGUUCAAGCAACUUGUACUGUAAAUAAAUGUUAUGCAAAAACUAAGCACUCUCAACUUUUACUUGAUCUUUUUUUUUUUUCUGCGGUAUGAUGGGAUUGAAGAUUACACAAUAUUGCCCUACUCUAAUAUAUAUAUUUAUCUAGUAAUGCAAAAAUAAACAUUGAAAUAAGCUCUUCAGUUGAUUUUAUAAACUGCAAAUUUGAGGUCUUGGGCUCUUCGCAGCCGAGAAAAAGUCAUUCAUGGCUGAGGUAAAAAUAAUUUCUUCUUCUUUUGAUUUUUUUAUGAAUGAAAGAUUAUAUUGGAAAGAAAAAAACAGGAAACAAGCCAUACUAUACAAAUUAACUGAACUUCCACCAGCAACAAAAUUCACUAAAAAAAGAUUGUUUUGACAUUAUUAAAGAGUAACGGUGACGAAACAUAUAUUCCUCUUAUCUCAAGCCCUUAACAUUUACUUCUAACAUUAUUAAAGAGUAAUGUCAUGAUUUGAAGGAGCCAAAUUAUUCAGCGCGUAGACAUUAAUUUUCCCAAUGAGAAAAUAUUAUUGUCUUAUCAACUUUAAAUAUUGCAUGCAUAUGCAAGUGGUUGAUGUAAAAUAAGUGCUGGAAAUUUGAUACAUGAAGGAUAUGGUCACAGAGUCGUUCUUCCAGCGACCUAGAAAAAUAUUUCCAAAAUCCAUAUACCUGAGAAACUAUCGUAAAAUAUAAGACAUCAAAACAGUACAAAAGAUCCUGAGUAAAAAUUGACAAAAGAUAAUUAAAAGACUGAUUGGAUUGAAAAUUAAAAAAGCAUGGCGAAAAUAAGAAGGUGGAAAAAUACUUUUGAAAUAAUAAAAAAGCAUUAAUGGAAGAGAGGUUUGAUUUAUUCGUUGUGGAAUUUAAGAGUCGGUCUUGACUUGGAAAAUGAAUGAUGAUUCGGAUACAACAUGAACACGCGUGUCUUGACUUUGAAAAUGAAUGGUUAUUACUUGUGAGCACGCAAAACUGUGACUUUUUCGUCCAUUUGCCGAGUCCAAUGAAUUAAAAUAACAAAUGAGUAAAAUGAUCGGAUCCUUAGUUACUAUUUGUUUGCUGGAAAAUAGUAUUUUUUUUUUUUAAAUGAAUUUUAAAAAAGUAUUUUCGAUGUUUGAUAGUGUAAUAAAAAAUAAGUUGGAAAACACUUUCCUGUUUGGUUAUAUCAUUUAAAAUGAGCUGGAAAAUAUCUUAUUAAUAUUUUAUUUUUCUUAAGUUUAUUAAAAUAAUGAGGAACAAAUCUUACAAAUUAAAAAGUUGAAUGGGAAUGAAAUUGAAAAAAUAAUAUAAUUUCAUAAAUUAUCUUAAAUAAAAUAAAUAAUAAUCAAAAUAAUAGAGAUCAAAUCUAAAAAAUUAAAAAAUUAAAAAUGAAAGAUGAAGAAAUUAAAAUAAUAAUAAUCAACAUUUCAUAAAUUAUUUCAAAUAAAAUAAGUAACAAUCAAAAGAAUGAGGACCAAAUUUGAUAGAUAAAAAAUUUCAAUAAAAAAAUGAUAAGGAAAAAGCAAAUAGCAAUUAUAAAAAUAAGGACCAAAGUUAAUAUAAAAAUAAAAUUUUAAGAGAUGAAAUUGAAAAAUAAAUAUUCAAAACAAAAUAUAUAUAGCAAUCAAAAUUUGAUCGAAAGUGUUUUCCUUUGAUCGAAAAGUGUUUUCCGUUGACCCACUUUCCUAAUGACAAACAAACACAGAAAAGUUUGGAAAAUGAUUUUCCGGAAACUACUUUUCGGGAAACAAACAUGGCCUUAGUGUCGCACAUGAAACAUGUUGCGACGGGCAAUCUCUUAGUAUCUAGAAAUCCAAAAAUAAAAAGGAUAAGAAAUUCUUGUUUUUUAUAUGUUUUUCUAAUAUUUUUAAAAAAUUUAGGUAUUUUAAUAUCAAAUUUGUAUCUUUACAGUAUAAAAAUAAAACCAAUAUCAAUCAAAAUUGGUAUAAAAAUAUGAGAGAAAAUCACAAAUUAUUUUAAAGGAUUUUUAGAAUUUUUUGUUUUUAUUUUCAAAUAAUAUUAUAUUAUAUUAUAAUAUUUUGAGAUGCACUCAACCCAAUUAUAUAGGCAGAGAACAUCUUAUCUGAGAUGAGAUUAGCCCAAAAUAAAUUGGGUCAAAGUCGGCCAAAAAGAGUUGGGCCAACACCAGCCUAAAAUAGAGGUUGGGUUGAUGUUGGCCCAACAAAACUUCUUUUCUAUUUAUGGGAUUGGACCGAACUUGACCCAACCAUUUUGGUCUGGAUCAGAACUAGUCCGACCUAGUAAACAAUGAAGAGAUUCUCCAAUGUUCUGCAAGUGAAUAGUAGAGAGUGAAUUGAAGAAUAGUAGAAUAGUAGAGGGUGACUGAAGGAGAAGAAGAAAAAGGAGAAGGAGGAGAGAUUGACCUGGCGGUGGCUUCACGGUGGUGCUAAUGAUGGUGACGAGGAAAGCAGGCGAUAGUGGGGAGAAAAAACAAUGGUUGCUGUUGUGGUUUUUUCUUCUCUGUACAGGGGCAUGAAAUUCCUCUUUCCUUUUUUUUUUAUCUUUUUUUGUUCUCUCUCAUUAUCUUCUCUCGUUCUUGUCUCUCUUGUUCUUUCUUUUUUUCUAUGUUUUUUUGUUUUUAUUUCUCCUUUUUUCUUCCUUUGUUCUCCCCUGUUUCUUUUUGUUUCUCUUCUGUUUUUUGCUCUCUUACCUCCCUUUUUCAUCUCUUUAUCUCUCUGUUUUUGUCUCUCGUCCCCUAGUAUUUAUAAGAGGGAAAGAGAGGAGAGAGAGCUAUUACACAUGUCCAGUCAUGGUGUAGGGGUAUGGUGGUUGGGGCAGUCUGUGCAGCCAUCCCAAAGCCAACCGCAGGGCUUGUCCCCUCUACCUCUUUCAUCAUGUUGAUAGGCCAUGAAGGGGUGUGGGUGGUGUCGUGGUUUUUGGGAAAAGGGGAGGGAGAGAGUGAGAGAUAGACGCUGCAAAUGAAUGGAAGAAAAACCUUCUUCCCCUGCCUUUAUGCGUUUGGGGAAGAAGAAGAUACACAGUGCUGUUUAACACAACACCGUUUUAAGCUUCGCUUUUUUAUGUUUGAACAGUGAAUGAAAUGGGGUCAAUUCAUUUAAAUUAAAAUAGCGCCCAAAAAAUGUUAAUUUUUAAAUCAAUCUUUAAUUAUUUUUUUUUAUCCAAUCAAGUCCUCAAUUGCAAUUUUGAUUUUAAGAAUAAAUUUAAUUUCAUCCCUAUCAAAUUCAAAUGCCAGCCCUAAUGUUGGAUGUCUUUUUCACUUUAGUCCUUAGUUUUGAAUUUAUGCAUUUUGACCCUUAAUUGAUCAACAAACUUUCAAUUUUUUCAAUUUAGCCCCUGAUUUGACCAAAUUAACUCUUAAAAAUUAUAAUUUAACCCCAUACUUUAAUUUUUUUUCCAAUUAAAGUCAAAAUUGACUUAAAAAUGAAUUCUUCUUGCAAUCAAACCCUUUACAAACCCAAUUAAUCUUUCAACAAAAUCUAAUUGAGUCCUUAAACAUCUAAUUUUGGAUUUUUCUUCAUCAAAUUGAAUUUUCUUUUUCAAUAUAGCAUUUAACAAUAAAAAAUAUAUUGUAAAAUUUCAAUCUUUGUAUUUUUGAACUUUCUCAACCAAUCUUUAGCCAUUUUCUGGGCGCCCUUAUAUCUUCUUCUCACUACUAUCUAUAUUUUGGUUUUCUUCUAAUAUAUAUAUUUUUUAUUUUUCUCUCUUUUUAUGUGGGAACCCAAAAAUAAAUAAUAACAAGUAGUUUGUAGUGUAUAUAGAUAAAUGCUAGAGUAAAAUGGAAUUGUUGUAACCCAUUUUUGGGUCCCCAUGAAAAAUAAAAUAAAUAGCCAAAAGAGGUUAGAAAAAUAACAGGAGGCAGAAACGCUCGGAAAAUAGUCAGAAAAUUGGUCAAGGAAUUUAAAAAUACAAGGAUUGAAUUUUUGACAGUAUAUUCUUGGAGGAUGAAAGCCCUAUUGAGAAGGAAAAUUUGAAUUUUGAGGAGAAAAGCCCAAAUUUGGAUUUUAUUGGACUUAAUGGAUUUUUAUGGACUUAAUUGGAUUUUUAUUUGAAUUUAUAGAAGAUUUGAUUGCGAAAAAAAUUGAUUUUUUAAGUCAAUUUGGGCUUUAAUUGGAGAAAUUUAAGUUCUGGGGCCAAAAUAUAUUUUUUAGGAAUUUAUUGGGUCAAAUCAGGGGCUCAAUUGCAUAAAUAUUGAAGUUUAAGGGCCAAUUAGGGACUUAAUUGUGAAAAUCCGAAACCAGGGACCAAUUUGGAGAAGGCGCAAAGAUAGAGGGGGCUGUUUGGAAUUGUUUCAGGGGCUUAAUUGAAGAAAUUGGAAGUUUAUUGAUCAAUUAGGGGCUCAAUUGCAUAAAUCAGAGGCCAAGGACCAAAGUGAAAAAGGCGGCCAACAAGAAGGGCGGGGACCGAAUUUGGAGGACUGAUUUGAAGUUUGGCCAUUUAAAUGAAACGGCGCGUUUUAUUCAAAACGACGCCGUUUCAUAUACAAAAAAAAAAAAAAGGAAAGCAGAACGGUGUCGUUUUGAACGACACUGUUCAUCAUCUCCUUCCCCCCGUUUUAGCAGAACAGAAGACAAAAAUUUUGAAAAAAAACUCCCGCGUCUCUCUCUCUCGCCCCCACCACCACCAGAAAGAACCGACCAGCCAUGCGUGAUUGAAGGCGCACUAACCAUGGUCCCCCACCCGUGCUGCCCCUAUAAAUAAAGAAGAAAAACCGAAGAAAAGAAGGAGGAGAGACCCGAAGAGAGAAGGAGAGAGAACGACCCGAAGAGAGAGAGAAGAACAGAAACAAACCGAGAAGAAGGAAACCGAAACCAAAAAACCAAAACCAAACCGAGAACCGACAGCCACUGAGAAAAAAAAACGAAGGAGAAGGGAGGAAGAAGAAUUUUUCGCCACUGAAACAGCAGCAACGCCGCCCGGAGCCGCCGUCCACGAAGCCACGCCACCGUAGCCCCGCCAGCAAACCACCGUCUCCAGCCUCGCCAGGUAAGCUCUUCCCCCUGCAUUGUUUUUUUUUCUUCUCUUCGUCUUCUGUAAUUUUCGUCUCCUGCAUGCAGAAUUGUUCUGCAUGCAGGGGACGGGGGGGAAAUUAAUUCCCCCCGUAUGUUUUAUCUUCUGGGCCAGACCGGUUCUGGCCCAGAAACAUGUAUUGGGCCAGAAGGAUUCUGGCCCAACCCGGCGGUCUGGGCCGCGUCCGGCCCAGACCAAGUUGUUUUUUUUCCUGGGCCGAGAUCGGCCCAGUCACUGUGGGGCUGAGCCCGGCCCCUUAAUAAUUAAUAUAUAAUUAUAUUAUAAUAUUAUAUAUAUAUAUAUAUAUAUAUGUGUAUAUGUUAUAUAUAUAUAAAAUAUUUGUAAAAAAUCUAAAAAAAUCUAAAAAAAAUAUUGUUAUUUUCCUUUCAUGUAUAUAUAUUUUUAAGGGGGUUUGUAUUUUUUUUUAUAUACUGUGGAGGUAUAAAUUCAGUAUUUAAAAUAUCUGAUUUUCGUCGUAGCACCCGAAAUUUUCCAAAGAUAAUUUUUUUUUUUGCUUUCAAAAAUUUCUAAAAUUCCUAAAAAAUAUUGUGGAUUUUUCCGCAUUUUUUUUUUGACUUAAUAUUAGUUUGUAUUUUUAUUUUGUGGAGAUACAAAUUCAGUAUUAAAAAUACCUGAUUUCGUCAAAAAAAAAAUAUUGUUUUAAAAAAAAAAUAUUUUUCUUUCGUGUUGCAUACGGCCAAUACUCUAACAUGUUUUGAAUAUUCUUUUUUAUAAAACAAAUAUAUUGGAAGCUUCGAAAGUGUGUUUUCGCAUAGAUUUCUUAAACACAAAUUAUUUUCUUGCAUUUCUGGAUUUUACAACGUGUUUGUAAAAUUCCAAAGGGUAUUGGCCAAUAUUCAAAAAACUAUAAAAAUCUUAUUUUGGGAAAAGGAAUUUAUUUAUUAUUUACCGCUAAUGUUUGGAUAAAGAAAUCCUUAAAAGGAUGAAUAUCCAAAAUAUUAUCGGGAAUAAUAAAUCCGCACACAAUUCUUGAAAGAAGCCUUGAUUAUAAUCGAGGACAUUUCAAAAUUAAUUUAAUUUUUUUUUUUCUCCACGAUUUAUGAGUCGCAAACUUUUGAAAUACUAAGGGAAAAAUGAGCUUUCAAAGCACAUGGAAUCUCCUUAGAUUUCUAUCCAAAAUCAAUUGACGAGCCUAGAAAAUACCUACACCAUAGCAGUUAUAGAGCAAACCAAACACCAAGCAGCUUACCUUAGGUAGGGCGUACUAGGGGUGCUAAUACCUUCCCUUUACGCAACCAGUCCCUUGCCUUAGAAUCUCUGAAAGACCAGUUAGGGUUCCUAGUGACCAAAAUACUAGGUGGCGACUCCCAAAGAACCAAAUCAACAAAACAAAACAAAACGAAAGUCGCCAGUCGAAUGUCGCAAAACAAAUUUUAAAAUAAACCAAAUUUUAUUUGUUGAUUUUUUCGGGGGUGCGACAGGAAUGAUGGUAUCUAUCAUGUUAUGAUUUAUUUUCUAUUUUGUUAUCAAGAAUGAUUGAUAGGUUAGGGUGUGGGGGCAAUGCCUCCAUGAUACAGUAAAUGAGUAUUAUUAAAAAAACUAUAAUAUCUCUUAGGCAAUUAAACUUUUAGGCCGCAGUUAGACCCUUGAGCGGUUUAGAAUAUACUAUAAAUACACAUUAUGUAAUCCUAUUUGACAUAUAGUAAAAAUAAAAGCUCAUCACUCAUGCGGAUAUAAAAACAUUAUCAAACCACAUUAAAUCUUGUGUUCUUUCUAGUUUUUCUUCUUUUAUAAUAUUCAUCAAUAAUUGUUGUAGGUUUUUCACAAUAGAGGUCAUGUUUAAAGUAUAAGAAUGUGUGAAGGAACUACCAGUGAACUUUACAAGAACAAAAGGUGUAAUAUUUGAUAUAGAUCCUUCUUUAGCUUGCAUACACAAUUAAUUAGAAUUUGAAACUCUCGAGUCAUAGACAUUAUACUUAAGGAAUAUGCUUUAUAAAGCUAUAUUCAAAGUAUCUAUGUUUUUGAAAUUGAAGAGUUCAGUUUCUAACACUUAAAUCAAGAACAAUUUUUUUUAUAAGUAGAGAGGACUAAAGUAGGGCACUAUAUUCAUUAUCCUUAGCAUAAUUUGUUUUAUUUCUUUCAUUAUAAGAUUUUUUAGAUUUUAAGGAGUUUCGAAUGAGUCCAAUGGGCAAUCUAAUAAAAAUGGGUAUAACUUAUGUUCCGACUAUUGGGUUGAAUUGAAAUUUUCCUUAAAUGAUUAGUAAGACAACUUCAUUUGAAUUCAUGUACAUGCUAAAUUCAGUCUAAAAGUUACAGCUUAAUAUUGUUUUUAUUUUCCUUAUUGUUUUUGGAUUAUUCUUACUAUUUAGAUUAGGAUUUAAAAUUUAAUUAGGAUUUUACUAAUAAGCAUAUAUAAUUUUUUUUGUAUUUAAACUUUCUUGUAGGCUAUUUUUUAGGGAAGAAUUUAUUAUAUAAAGACUUUUAUAAAUAUAUUAAUUUUUUCUCUGCAACCUUUUCUAAGAGUUGUAACAUUAAGUUGUGAGCCCCCCAGUUUCUUUCUCUACAAUUUAAAACUGUCAAAUUUUACGGUUUGAGGAUCCUUAACACUAUACACCAUGUCAAUUGGUAUUAUAGAAGUCUACGGGAGGAGUCAAGUAGUAAAACGCUUUUUUUUAUUUUUAAUAUUCCACAAGAAUAAAAUCAUUAAUUAUGGAUAAUCAAUUAUCUAUAUUAUAAAAUUAUUAAUAUUUGUUAAAUAAUCAUUUCAAUCUAAAAAUAUAAAAAUAGUUUUCUAUUAAUUUUUUAGCAGACUUCUUCAAGUAAAAAUUUACAUAUCUUAUGGAUAUGUAUCUUAUAUUUAAUUUUUAAUUAAAUUAGAGAGAAUAAGGGCUAUCACUAUCUUGCUAAUAAUUUUUAAUCUAAUUAAAAAGAACAAGAGUGAUACAAAAUCUGAUUUGACCCAAAAUGUAAAAUCCAUAUAUAUUUUUUUUAAUUCCAAUGAUAAAAUAGUUCAAUCUAUCUCGCGGACCUCUCUCGUAAGAGGGGAUGUGUAGCCAUAUGUUUUAAAGGUAUGGGGGAAAAAGCAUUUUUUGCGUUUAAUUUCCUCUCCUACUACUCCUAUUUCUAUGCAUAGGCAUUCUGGGAUGCCCCAAACCGAAAUACAAAUCAAAUAUACGUGUUGGGUAUCUGCAAAAUGUUUAAAGAUUCAAUUCCUAAAUAUUUGUAUGCAGAUAUUAAUAACCAACCAUGCAUUGAAGUAUAAACCCUUCAUUAAUAGCAUGACUUCUCAAAAGACUAAAAGUGAAAAAACCCUUAUAAAUACACAAUUAGCUAGCUUUUUUUUUCUUUUAGACAAGUGAAGAAACUUUAUUAAUAGCAUAACAUUGGCAAAUCAAAGCAAGGGGAAGAAUUAAUGGGUACAAAUGCCAAAAAGCAUGGGGAAAGAAAACAUGGCAAUAGCUAGGAAGUAACCUAAACUAACCAGCGAAGGAAGGAGGACACAUAAAUAAUGACCAUGGAUAAAUUAAGCCUUCUUGGCUAAUACAAGGAUAAACGAUUACUGAUCAUUCAUCAUACGAUGGGAGCUGCAGCUGGUUCACCGAUGCGGCACAUACCAUCUAUGGGGUCAUAUAUGCAUGGAGCUGCUGGCCUCGCUAUCACAGUAAGGUUAGAGCAUGAUAGCAAAAUAAUGGUAACGAUUAGGAGUAGUAUUAUUGUCAAGUAUCGAGCCUUUCCUCGAGACCCCAUUCUUGACACGAAAGAAAGCUGAGACUCUUAGGGAAUCAAAUGUAUGUCUUGGUACGUAUGUGUAGAGAGCGAGCUAGUCUGCGAGACGGAGAGGGUUUGCUAGCUAGCUGAUAUAGGGGACACAAUGUGUGGAAUUGGAAAAGGUAUACGUACAGCAUUUAAAUUUGACUUUAGAGUUUCUUAUUAUUUUCUUCAAUAGAGUUAUGAUGACUUGUGGCAUAGGUUAAUUUGAAAUCAACAUUCAAAGGGAGUAAUUGUGGAUCAUGUCUAGCUAGGUUGUUUAAGUAGUCAAAUAAAUCAUAUUUUUAUUAUAUUUUUAUUUUUAAUUUUCUGGUUUGGCCCUGGCUCUUCAGAAACAAACAAUUCGGAAAACUAGAGAAGGUGAAACAUAAUAUAAAUAUGGCAUAUUAAUUUGUCGGUCGAUUGACUUUUUUUUAUUUUGUUAAUUUUAAUUACAAUAUAUUUUUUAAUUUUCUUGAGUUCUUUAUUUCCUUGACUUCUUCUUCCUUUUACUAAUUAAGAAAAAUCAACAACAUCUGGUCAAACAAUCUAAAUUGGUCAACGAAUGAAUUUUAUAAUGGGUUUAUAUAUUGUAUGCUUACAACAAUAAAAAUAUCAUGAGUGAACAUAAUAAUAACAUUAAGACUAUUAUUUAAACUACUUUGAACAACAAAGGUUCAAAGGAACGGAGUCAAUUUUAGAAUGGGCUAGGUUGAUGUUGGCGGCUAGCUAGGGUUUUAGGAAUGAAGAAGAUGAGAUGAUUUUUUUAUCAUUAUCAUUAUCAUUAUUAUCAUUAUUAUUAUUUUUACAGGUUCCCUCUCUCUUUUCAUUUUUUGUAGCAACUACAUGCGGUCGAAAGUCACUGAUAAUUACAUUAAUUACUAGUUAUAACUGAUUUUGAUAGAUAUAACAACAUUUAGAGUAAAAUGUCAUUGCAAAUACAUAUUGUAUUAUAAUGAAAUUUCAAACAUUUACAUUCAUAAUUAAUUAUAUAUUUGCACAUGCAUUUAUUUAAUUUAAAGGCACGUAGUUAUAUUAAUUUUAUAAGUAAUUAUGAUAGGAUUUUGUUGAUAGUGGAUCUAAAAGCAUUUGUCUCAUGUGCUGUUAAAUCUUAAUAACAUUUGAAACAAAAGAUCACUUAAUUUAUAUCCAAUAUCAGUCAAUAUAUACUACAAUAAAAUAAAUGUUCCUAUAAAUAACAAUCAUAAAAUACCAUUAUAAAGUAUAGUUAGUAUGUAUUUCAAACAAAUGAAAUUAAAAGUAAACAUAGUAAAAGCAUGUAAUCAUCACCAAACCAUGAAAACUAUAUGUAUAUAUAAACAAAACAAGAAAGUUUCGUUCUGUUUUCCCUCAUUUAUACUUCAUUAUUUAUUAUCCACGGUUUUGAUUAUUAACAAACAAUCAAAACCCAUCAAAUCAAACUUUAUUGUAAACAAAAUUAAACCCAUUUCUUUUAGCAAAGUCUAAUUCAAAAAAGUUUGGUUCUUUUACCCCUCAUUUAUACUCUAAGAAGAUUUAAAAAAAAUUAUCACUAAGAUAGUGUGUGGUUACUAUUCUAUAACAAAAGAAAUAAAAAAAACAAUGAGAACAUAAACAUUUUUUAUUGAAAAGAUAUAGAUAAAAGACAUAAUAAUAAAUUUAUCUCUAAAAAAUUUUAAACUUAAUUUUUAUAUUUUCAAAAUAAAAUGUAUAUAGAAAACAUGUUUUUAUAGAUAAUAUUUAUUAUUUUUAUCUUUAAAAUAUUCAUGUAAAAAAAAAUAAUUUCAAAAUUAUCCAAAGCAUAUAAAGAUAAAAGUGAUUUUUAUUAUAGUUUUAAAAUCUGAUUUGACACUCGACUUGAAACAAGACCAGAUCUUGGAUCGCGAGGGUCAAACUAAGUUAUUCUAACUAUUUUUAAAGGAUCAAAACAAUUUGAUCAUUUUGACCAAAAAAGUUUUUGUUUGAAAAAAAAGUCAAUAUGUUUUUAGCCAAAAAAUUUUAUAUAUUUAGGUGGACUUGGGUUUUUUAUCAUAUUAGAUCAGAUUAAUCAUUCCUCUAUUUUUUUAAAAACCUAAACUGGUCUCAACCUCGAGUUAGCCCGCCAGGUCAAUCCAAAUUUUAUAACUAGAGUCAUUAUACCAUUAUUAAUUUCAACACUUAAUAUAAAUUACAAUAAAAAAAUAUAAUUAUGUAUUUAAAUAUAUAAGUUUGAUAAUAAUAUAUGUUAAGAGUAAAAUACUUUUUUUCAUAUAUUAUUUUAUCUCAUUCAUUCACCAUGAAUCAAAUAUUAUACAAAAAUAUUUUAUAUUUCAUUACCAAAUAUAAUUUUAUCUUCAUCUUUUCUGUUCUAUCUUCUCUUUUUUAUUAUCUCAAUAUUCUUGCGUUCCAUGACAAUAUCUAUCAAUGAUAAUGAUAAAGAGAGAAUAAGAGGAGGACUUGAGGCACCAUUUGUUUCUACAACCCAGUUGUGUUUUUUUUAAAACAAAUUAAAAACAAUUCUUGAAAUGUUUUUUUAUAUUUUUAAAAUAUUAAUGUCAAAACUAAAAUUUAAAAAAUAAUAAUAUUAUUUUAAUAUAUUUUUAAAUAAAAAAAAACUUUGAAAAUCAAACAAUUUUCGUAAUACCAAACAUUAGCUCCGUAAGAGAAUUGUCCAUGGGGAUUUCAUUGAUUUUCAUUGUAUCACAAUCUCCCUUGGCCACAUGUACGCACGCCAGAGGCUAACCUCUUUUGGAGAUUGAGUAACUUGAGUUACGCCCGUUCUAUUUAUUUUUACAUUUUGAAAAUAUUUUAAAAAAAAAUUAAAAUUUUUUAUUUUUUUAAUUUAAAUUAUUAUUUUUUAUAUAUUUUAAUAUAAUAAUAUCAAAAAUAAUUUUUAAAAAAUAAAAAAUAUUAUUUUAAUAUAUUUUUAAAUAAAAAUUAUUUUAAAAAACAACACCAACCAAAACAUACAUGUGCUCUGUCUUCGCAGCUGCUUCGGCUAAUAGCAAAGAAGUGAAAGGACGUCGGAGGGAGCUGAUGUAAGAAAUGGAUUUUAUUUUCAAUAGGCCUUAUGGUUUCAGCGUUUGGACUUUGGUGAUUUUUCAUGGGCCUCCAUUGACUAAAUUUGGGCUCUUCUCCAAUUAGACCAAUGGUUUGAAUAACUGAAUCUAGAACUAGCAGGCCUUGGGCCUUGGCCACCAUAAUUUGUUGCACCAAGCAUGUCCCCUCAUUAUAUCAUCAUCUUUUCUAUUAAUAUUUUAAAAAAAAAAUUAUUAAGUAUUAAAUAAGUUAUUCAUAUCUUAAUUUAUACAUUUAAAAAAAUAUAUAACAUUUUUUUUUUCAUAUUUGAUCUCGAAAUGAUAGUAUGAUAAGCAAUCCAUUAAACUAUCUUAUUAUAUUAAGUUAGUGUGUUUUUGAAAGUUUUAAAAUACACUUGAGGAUAAAUAUGCAAUGCAAUAUAUUAUGUCCUUGUCAUGGAUUGAAUCGCUCCAUCUUCUCUAUGUAGUGUGUGUAUAUAUUUAUAAUUGUGUGUGUAAUUCAUUCGCAUGAAUUAUAUAAAAAGGAUAGAAAAUCAUAUUGCGUUUUGCAUCAAUUACAAAUUUAAAAUUAUUUAAUUAGUUAAUAUUUACAUGAAUUCUAUUGAAAUCUUAGAUUAAAAAAAAAACUGCAAUUUAUUUAUUAUUCUUAAAUCUAUUUUUCUAAACUACAACUAGGAUGGAAAGGAGGAAGCUAGCUCAAGCAUAACUUCAAUUUGUCAUCACCCACAACACCCAAAAAAUCUGGACACGAAUAAAAAUCUUUUGUGACGACUUGACCACCUUAGCAGCUUUCUGAAAACCUAUGAGGCACUGAUUAAAGAUAAGAAGCAGCACUACUCUUGUUAAUUAUUAAUUAUACUCUUCCAGACAUCCUUGUCAAUGUCAUGCUAGUCAUCGUCUUGCUCCUUAAUUUCCUUUCUGGCUGACACGUGACUUGUAGACCAACGACUGUGUGAAAGCCAACUGUCUUUAAAUCAUUGGCUAAAUUUCUUCUGCAAAGGAGGAAGUCUGCUAAUUAAGGACAGGCACUUAAAUUGAUGCCACGUAUAAUUCAUCAAAAAUCUAUUCCAUGUAUACAUAUCAUCGCUGUGCUUUGCUUCCCAUAUCUCACCAUUGAAGACUGUACUAAGCAUUCCAAGCUUUUCUUGUUGAUAUCAUCAUUCAUGGAUAACAGCGGAAUAAAUGAAAUGAUGUAGAAAGAAUAAAUAAAAAAUGAAUGGCGUACUGUAUUAUACAAUUUCACUUUCAACACCACAUUAUAGUUUUCUACUUCAUGACAUAACGAUCCUAUACGAUGAGUUUGCGUUGUGAAAUGUCCAUUUGACAAACACGAGAUCAGGCGUGCGCGUGCGCGUGCGUGUGUUGUAGCAUGAGAUGUUUUUGGAUGGGUUUUCACACAUAGCAAGGUUUAUCAAUUUCAUUUCAUUCCGUUUGAAAUUGUCAAAAACAUGUUAUAUUAAUUUUAAAAAAAAAAUGAAAUAAUUUUUAUUUCAUUUUAAAUUUCAGUCCGUUUCAGAUUUUUCGAUUAAAUUUCAGCCUAAAUAUUCCUGUUUCAUUUCACAUGUUCAGUUCCAGACUCAAAAAGUCAUUGAAUCAAAUUGAACACAGUUCAAUUUAAUUAAUUAAACCACCCAAGUAUAAAAGGUUCUUUUUAAAAUAAUAUUGAAAAUUAUUAGUAUUAUUUUAAUUAACAAUGAUAUUAAUUUUUUAAAAUUAAAUUUAUCACUAAUAUAUAUGGUUUAUUUUCAUAUUGUUUUUUUCAUGUCUAUACUUUGUAGGAAUUUGAACAAAACAAGAAAUGUUUUAGAUUUCAUUAGCUUUGAUAAUAUUGACCUAGUUUUAUAUUUAAAAUAUUCGUGUUAAAAUAUUUUACUUUCAUAAUAUUUUGAUAUUUUAUUUAAGUUGAAUUACUGUAAGUUAAAGAUCUAUUUAAUCAUGACUAUUUAGAAAAUAUUUUAAAUUUUAAAAUUAUAUUUAUUUGAUAUUAUGUUUGUAUUAUAUAAUUUAUAAUUAAUUUAUCUUAAAUUUGAAUUAUAUUUGUUGAAUUAUAUAUAUAUAUAUAAACAAAACAACUCUGAAACUAAAAUAUUCUAAAAUUAAAAUAUUUUAUUUUAAUUAAAAAAAUAAAACAUCUAUUAAAAUAGAAUUGAUAACCUUGACACAUAGUGACCGGAUUUUCCAUGAUCCUUUAAUAAUUUCUUUAUUUCUCUAUAUAUAUUUAUUUCAAGCCACCCGAAGUGGGGAAGUCCACUUCCAUAUUCAAUAAAUUAAAGGAUAUUUUGAUGCUCCCAAGAAGAUUCCUGCUAUCCUAUUUCUCCUUGUACAAGACAAAGAGGGAUCUAUUCAUGAGGACAAUUGCUUGAAUCUUCAACCACAUGAAAGUCCAAACUUUACGAAUUAAUCCUAUUUCUAUCAAUAUAUUUAAGAAGAAUCAAAUCAAUAAUUAAAAGAAUAAUAUAUAGUUUUUUAAUACAUGAAAUCGAUACAAAGAGUGUAUCGAUUUCAAGAUCCAAUAAAUAAAGAUCAAAUCAAUAAUUAAUUCCUUCUUCUCUUUAAAUCUUCCACGCAUGUUACAUCCAAGUCAAUUUUUUUAUUUGUGUUAUCAUUUUUUUCCACAACAGCCUGGACAAUUAAUGGACCUACACAAAUGUUUUAUUUUCCAAAUAUCAAACGAAGACUCGAAUUUAUUCAGCAACUAACCAGCCCUGAUCACUCCUAUUCGAUCUUUAACUUGAAACUAAAUUCCUUCUCUUAAUUAGAUGAGUUUAAGUUGGAUAUUAAAAUCCUUGAUUUGUUAGUAUUUUUCUUCAAAUACAAAAAUAUUGUUAUAUAUUAUUCAGAACUUUUUUUUUAUAAACAAUAUUAAAGAUACAUCCCCCAUCUGAUCAAUAUGAUAUAUUUAUCUUAAAUUUUGAACUCGAAAAAAUCACUAAAUGAAGCAUAAAAUGAGUAUAAUUAUAGGGGGUUUGGAUUUGUCAAUAUUGUGCAAGAAUCCUAGCUAGCAGAUAUUAUUGAAAUUAAUUAAGUUGGGCACCUCAAUUUGCAAUCUGUAGGCUGUGAAGUCCGGAUUGCCGGCGGGACCAUCUCAUCUUCUUUCCCGCAUCCACAUGCUCUUAUCUCAUUCAAAAUCUGUGGAUAUAACAAGUCAAAAGAUACAUUUUAUUAAGAUCAUGCUUAGCCUACCCUUGGAUUGUCCAUCUCUCUCUCUCUCUCUCUUUGUUAUUUAGUAAUAUUAUCAAUAUUUUUUCUUGAUACUAAUUAAAACAUAGUUUUUAGCUAAAUAUGAAAGAAACCAAGAAAAAAAAAAGUUCAAAGGGUUUACGUUUCACUUUUAACUGCUCAUCUCCAUUUGGUCUGAUUGAUCUAACUCAAGAUUUAUGUCUAUAGAAAUUAAUUAAAAUAACAGUUUUUAAAAAUAUUUUUUUAAUUUAAAAAUAUAUAAUUUUUUUAAAGUAGAACCAGGUAUGCUUCGGAGCAUAGUUUUGAAAUCUGGCCCAAUAAGUUAACCCGGGAUUCAGCCAAUCCAGAACUGAAACCGGACCGAGUUGAAAAAAAAACAGAGAAAGGCAAAACUUGAUAUGACCUAGCAAGACCUGUUAAUUUUUGUUUUUUAUUUUUUUAUUUUUUUACUAAAAUAAUUUUAUUUUAAUUUUUUUAAAAAAAAAUUAACCUAACUGACCGAAACCUAAAACUCAAGUUUUAAACUAGCCAAGUCAAGAAGACUUGAACCGGAACAAGUUUAAAUAUACUGCUUUGACAAGUUGACUUCCUACCCACCGUGAAACAAGUUUAAGAAGUAAUGUCUUUAAUUGUCACAACUCUUUCUCACAGUCAUCAUCUCCCAUUGCUUUCCCACUUCUUUAGCAACGCGUCUAUAUCUCUUCCUUCACGCCUUUGAUGUGUACAGCAAUAAUCACCACCACCUUAUUUAACACUCUCCCAACUUUCUUAGCCUCCAUAAAGAAUCUUUCUUUUUUCAAGAACACAAAAUGGACCGUAAUGGAAGAGAUGACAUCAAGGUCGAGAAUGGUUAUGAUUUGGAGGAUGAUCAUGAUCACAAAAAGAAGGACAGGAAAGAGGAACAACAAGAAGAGUUGUCAGUGGAAAGAAUAUUUGAGAACCAAGAAGUGCCAUCAUGGAGGAAUCAGCUGACACUGAGGGCCUUUGUGGUGAGCUUCGUGUUGAGCAUUUUGUUCAGCGUCAUAGUAAUGAAGCUCAAUCUUACAACUGGUAUCAUACCUUCCCUCAAUGUCUCUGCUGGCCUUCUGGGCUUCUUUUUUAUCAAGACCUGGACAAAGUUUCUUGAAAAGUCUGGCCUUUUGAAGCAACCCUUUACGAGGCAAGAGAACACAGUUAUCCAGACUUGUGUGGUUGCAUCCUCUGGCAUUGCCUUUAGUGGUAUACUUUCUGUACUUCUUACUGCCAUCAAUUUUCAUUUCAUCUCUCUUACUUUUUGGGUUGAGGAGAUAUGUAGGCUUCUUUGAUCAAGAUAUUAAAAUUUCUGUGCAUUAGGUUUUGUUUCUGUUCUUAAAGGUUUGAAACUUACAGUAGUUACUAAAACUCAAUGUCAAGAUUUGCUUCUUCUAAUUGCUAUAUUACAUGAUAAAGGCAACCCUUUUUCUCUCUCUGGAUCCCUUUUAUCUCAGUUGUGAGUAGAUUUACAUGAUCCUUGAAGACAAGAAUUAAUUCCUUACUGCCUAAAGUCUUCGGGAGGCAAAUCAAGAUUGAGGUUUUAUGACUAUCAGUUCUGCUAUUGCUUCAGCCACUUGUGAAGUUUUACUAAACUAAUCAACACUUGAACUUGCUGUUUGAGACAUGAACAAAUAUACUUUAGUAAAAAAGUUUAAUCAAAUGGUCUGUAAAUUUUCUUUACUAGCUUUUCCCUGUCUCAUGGUGUGUGAUAAUGGUGGAGGGGCUUUUUAUUUUUCUUAUGGUCCUCCACGAGGCAUUAGGUGUGGCUGGCAGAUGUCUCUAGACAGAUACUUUUUUGACAAUUCAAUUCAUAUGAGCUGGAUAUGGAUGAUUCGCUAACUUCAAAGUUAUACAAGUCUUAUAAGAAUAUUCUGAUUAGUGGAAAAGGAAGUCUUCCCCAUUAGGGAGAAAAGAAAAUAUGAAUAAUUAAUUUGUUUGUACUGUUAAUCUAGCUUUCAUCAUGUAAAAUUAAUUUGAAUACACUACAUCAUGUGAAAUUGUUGUAACGAUAGAAAUAAUUUGUGAUUAUGCUCAAGAUGAAAUUAAGCUUGUUGAUUUUUUGUAGUAAUAGUUUCCAUUCUAUAAUCUGUUUCUUGUUUCCUUACAAUAGGAGGCUUUGGGAGCUAUCUGUUUGGAAUGAGUGAAACCGUGGCCAUACAAUCAACAGAAUAUAGAGAUGUCUUUAAGAACCCAUCUCUGUCAUGGAUGAUUGGCUUUCUGUUUGUUGUUAGCUUUCUUGGACUCUUUUCAGUGGUGCCUCUUCGAAAGGUAGACUUCACAACAUUUGAUUAUCGCCAUUCAAUUUCGUAUAGGAAAUAGAAAACUUCUCUCUGCAUUUUGCUUUCUUGUUGAAUGUAUUGAUUUUGCCAAAAUCUAAUCUUCAUUGUUAUUUCCAGGUCAUGAUUGUAGACUUCAAAUUGACAUAUCCAAGUGGCACUGCAACUGCUUAUCUCAUCAACAGCUUCCACACUCCUGCAGGAGCCAAGCUAGCAAGGUAAGGCAUUAUCAGACCUCAUGCACAUAUAGUUGGAUGAUCAUUCGGCAUGUAAAAGUAUCAAACUUCUUCUUUUUUUACUACCGUUUCAGAAAACAAGUGAAAGCGUUGGGCAAGUUCUUAUCAUUCAGCUUCUUGUGGGGUUUCUUUCAGUGGUUCUACACUGCAGGAGAUGGUUGUGGAUUUGUUGAGUUCCCCUCACUCGGGCUUAAAGCAUAUGAAAACAAGUAAAAGCAUUACUCAAACUUCCAAAAUCCUCUCAUCCUAUUGAAUGUAGUUCAAUUUAUUAUGGCACUGUGUUUCAAAUUUGUUGCGGUAUCCUUGACUAAUAAUGUUAUUGUUAUAUGUACAGAUUUUUCUUUGAUUUCUCAGCAACAUAUGUUGGAGUUGGAAUGAUUUGCCCCUACAUCAUAAACAUAUCAGUUUUGCUUGGAGGAAUUCUUUCCUGGGGUCUCAUGUGGCCUCUCAUAGAUACAAAAAAGGGUGAUUGGUAUUCAGCAGACCUCAAAUCUAACAGCCUACAUGGCCUCCAAGGUUACAGGGUAAGUUUUCUAACAAGGUUAAGGUGACAAGAGUGCUAUUCUUGAAGCCUUUUCAUUCAUAACAACUCUUAUGCAAUGAACUCAGGUAUUUAUUGCCAUUGCCCUGAUCUUGGGUGACGGUCUGUACAACUUCUUCAAGGUGCUAAGCCGAACACUCACUGCCUUGUAUUUUCAACUUCAAAGGAAAGAUGCAACUGGUGCCCUCCCUAUUGCGGACCGUUCCUCUCCUGAGAACUCCAGGAUCUCAUACAAUGAUCAACGCCGCACCCAACUCUUUCUCAAAGAUCAAAUUCCAACAUGGUUUGCUGUUGCAGGCUAUGUCGCAAUUGCUGCUAUCUCUAUAGCCACGCUACCGCAUAUAUUUCCUGAACUCAAAUGGUAUUACAUAUUGGUUAUCUACAUCUUCGCCCCAGCCCUUGCAUUCUGUAAUGCUUAUGGCUGUGGCCUCACUGACUGGUCCCUCGCUUCCACCUAUGGAAAGCUUGCAAUUUUUGUAAUUGGAGCAUGGGCUGGUGCCUCUCAUGGUGGAGUUCUUGCAGGACUAGCGGCCUGUGGAGUCAUGAUGAAUAUCGUGUCCACAGCCUCCGACCUCUCUCAAGAUUUCAAGACUGGUUAUCUAACCCUUUCUUCACCACGGUCCAUGUUUGUUAGCCAACUAAUUGGCACUGCAAUGGGUUGCAUUAUUUCACCUUGUGUCUUUUGGCUGUUUUUCAAGGCCUUCAAGGAUCUUGGGAUUCCUGGAAGUCAAUACCCUGCUCCUAAUGCUACUGUAUUUCGAAACAUGGCUAUAUUGGGGGUAGACGGAUUCUCGUCUCUACCAAAGAAUUGCCUCUAUCUUUGCUAUGGGUUCUUCAGUGCAGCUAUUCUGAUAAAUUUAAUUAAGGAUGCAUUGGGUAAGAAAUGGGCUAGGUUCAUUCCCAAUCCAAUGGCGAUGGCUAUACCUUUCUAUAUUGGCUCAUACUUUGCCAUCGACAUGUGUGUGGGAAGCUUGAUGCUGUUUAUCUGGGAAAAGAUUGACAAGGCAAAGGCAGAUGCUUUUGGGCCAGCAGUGGCUUCUGGUUUGAUUUGCGGGGAUGGGAUAUGGACUUUGCCUAGUGCGAUACUUGCUCUAGUAGGAGUAAAACCUCCCAUUUGCAUGAAGUUUUUGUCAAGGAGAACAAAUGCUAAGGUCGAUGCGUUCUUAGGGUCAUAAAGUCGAAGUUGAGAUCAACUUGAAUAGAAACUGUUAAGUAAAGCUGAAUUGCUUCCUAGACUAAGGUUAUGAAGUUUACAUGUGAAGUUCGACUCAAAAAUGCUGUGGAUAAUCAAUCACCUGCAAUUUCGUGGAGCCAACCACUAUUUUCGCUAUAAUCUUUUCUGGAGAAGAAAAUCAAAUGUCCAUUUACUUACAUAUGUUUGUAGUUUUUUUCUAGUCUAGUUUGAAGAAGAUAGUAGAACAGAUGCAUCAAGCAAUGUGAAAAGUGAAAAUUACAGUACCCUUUGUGAGCUGUUAUGAUCAGUUGCUAUAUUUGGUAUCAGUUUGCUCAUUUUGCUAGCUAUCAUAUAUCAGGUGGUCCGAUGUGGCAUUGGAAUGGCCUUCUAGUUGUUAGCAGUCUCACAAUAAAAUCAUGCCAGACUUAGUCAUCCAACACGAGAAAAAAAAAAAGAUGGAAAAAAUAUCAGAUGCGUCGAGGAAGACGAUAAAAGCUUCAGCGAAUGAGACUUGUAACAAAUAUUUUACCUAGGUGUUUCCUAAUAAUAUGAAAAGAAGCUGAAAAAUAGAUAAGCAUUCCCGUAGUGAUCUUAAUGGCAUCUAAGCCCAGAGUGAGUGAAGUACAUAAAGAGUGCAACUAUAUUCAUAGUUAAUUAUCAUAGAAUCCUCAACUCUCCAUCUUGCUGUUGUUAUGAUUUGUUUAUAACUCAUCUUCAAUCUCAUGCUUUGUAAGGCAAGAUCCUGCAUUGUUUUUUAGAGAUAAGUUUAAAUUAAAUAACGUUAUAUUUUAUAUAUAUAAUAUAAAGAUUACAAACUCAAUCAUUUGGAUUAUUUUGUGACUGUAGUGUGUUUAAAAAUAUAACAGUAAGUAAUUCCUGUUCUAGAAAAUUUUAAAAUAAUAUAUUUUUUUUAUUUUAAAAAAUGUAUUUUUCAUAUUAGUAUAUUAAAAUAAUUAAAAAAUAUUAAAUAAAAAGUAAUUUAAAACACAGACAGGUUAAAACUCACUGCAACGACCCGUUUUAACUCCUCCUCAUGUUCGUCUUCAAUUCGGAUGUGUUGAGCAAUAAUCACAGCCACUUAUUAAACACGCUCCCAACUCUCUUCGUCUCCAUAAAGAAUCAUUCUUUUAAGAAAAUAAAAUGGAACGUAAUGAAAGAGACGACACCAAGGUAGAGAAUGAUUAUGAUUUGGAGGAUGAUCAUGGUCACAGAAAGAAGGACAAGAAAGAGGAACAAGAAGAAGAGUUGUCAGUGGAAAGAAUAUUUGAGAACCAAGAAGUGCCAUCAUUGGAGGAAUCAGCUGACACUGAGGGCCUUUGUGGUGAGCUUCGUGUUGAGCAUUUUAUUCAGCGUCAUAGUAAUGAAGCUCAAUCUUACAACUGGUAUCAUACCUUCCCUCAAUGUCUCUGCUGGCCUUCUGGGCUUCUUUUUUAUCAAGACCUGGACAAAGUUUCUUGAAAAGUCUGGACUUUUGAAGCAACCCUUUACGAGGCAAGAGAACACUGUAAUACAGACUUGCGUGGUUGCCUCAUCUGGCAUUGCCUUUAGUGGUAUACUUUCUGUACUGUUUACUAUCAUUAAUUUUCAUUUCAUCUCUCUUAAUUAUUUUGAAAUUCAAUUUUUUUUUCUCUUUUCUUUCGAAGUUGAGGAGAUAUCUAGGUUUCUUUUAUCAAGAUAUUAAUAUUUCUGUGCAUUUGGUUUUGUUUCUGUUCUUAAAGGUUGCAAACUUACAAUAGUUACUAAAAUUCGAUGUCAAGAUUUCCAUCUUCUAAUUGCUAGAUUACCUGAUGAGGCAACCACUUUUACUAGAGUAAUCAACACUUAAACUUACCAUUAGAGACAUGAACAAAUCUAUCUCUGUCUCCUGGAGUGUGAUAAUGUUAGGGGUGCAGCUGGUAUGUCACUUGACAGAUACUUUUUUGACAGUUCAAUUCAUAUGCGCUGGAUGUGGAUGACUUCCUAAGUUCAGAUUUAUAUCAGCAAGUCUUAUAACAAUAUUCUGAUUUGUGGAAAAAGAAGUCUUCUCCAUUAGUAAAAGAAAGGAAAAUGUGAAUAAUAUAUGUUUCUAGAAUGCUAGUUGUGAGCUUGCGUUAUUAAUCAAACAUCUUCUCAAACUGUGAAUCAUUAACAUAAUGUCAAGAUGAAUACAUUAUAUUUCUAACUCGUCCAAAUAGUCAAGAAAAGCCUGAUUACUUGCCAAACUUGUUUCGAAACUGAAUUAAUUAUUGUCAUGAAACGGUUAAUUUGUGAUUAUGCUUAUGAUGAUAUUAAACUUGUUGAUUUUUGUACUAAUGGUUUCCAUUCUAUAAUUUUUUCCUUGUUUCCUUAUAAUAGGAGGCUUUGGGAGUUAUCUGUUUGGAAUGAGUGAAACUGUGGCCAAACAAUUAACUGAAGAUAGUGAUGCCUUUAAAAAUCCAUCUCUGUCUUGGAUGAUUGGCUUUUUGUUUGUCGUUAGCUUUCUUGGGCUCUUUUCGGCGGUGCCUCUACGAAAGGUAGACUUUACAACUUAUAUCAGCAUUCAAUUUCUUUAUAUGAUUAUAGAAAAUAGAAAACUUUUUUUUGCAUUUUACAUUUUUGCCGAAUGUAUAGAUUUUCCAAAAAUUAAUCCUCAUUGUUACCCUGGUUAUUUCCAGGUCAUGAUUAUAGACUUCAAAUUGACAUAUCCAAGUGGCACUGCAACUGCUCAUCUCAUCAACAGCUUCCACACUCCUGCAGGAGCCAAGCUAGCAAAGUAAGGCGUUAUCAGACCUCAUGCACUUAUAGUUGGAUGAUCAUUUGACAUGUAAGAGUAUUGAACUUUGUUAUUCUACUGUUACAGGAAACAAGUGAGAGUGUUGGGCAAGUUCUUCUCAUUCAGCUUCUUGUGGGGUUUCUUUCAAUGGUUCUACACUGCAGGAGAUGGUUGUGGAUUUGCUGAGUUCCCCUCGCUUGGUCUUAAAGCACAUGAAAACAAGUAAAAGCAUUACUCAACCUUCCAAAAUCCUCUCUUCUUGUUGAAUGUAGUUCCAUUUACUAUGGCAUUCUGUUUCAAAUUCGUUGUGGUAUCUUUGACUAAUAAUGUUCUUGUUACAUGUACAGAUUUUUCUUUGAUUUCUCAGCAACAUAUGUUGGAGUUGGAAUGAUUUGCCCCUACAUCAUAAACAUAUCAGUUUUGCUUGGAGGAAUUCUUUCCUGGGGUCUCAUGUGGCCUCUCAUAGAUACAAAAAAGGGUGACUGGUAUCCAGCAGACCUCAAACCAGGCAGCUUGCAUGGCCUCCAAGGUUACAAGGUAAGUUUUCUAACAAGGUUAAGGUGACAAGAAUGCCAAUUACAUGAUUUUUAACAUUUUCUUGAAGCCUUUUCUUUCAUACCAACACUUAAGCAAUGAACACAGGUAUUUAUUGCCACUGCCCUGAUCUUGGGUGACGGUCUAUACAACUUCUUCAAGGUUCUAAGCCGAACACUCGCUGCAUUGUUUUUUCAACUUCGUGGGAGAGAUGCAACUGGUGCUCUGCCUAUUGCUGACCGUUCCUCUCCCAAGACAUCCAGGAUCUCCUAUGAUGAGCAACGUCGCACCCAACUCUUUCUCAAAGAUCAAAUUCCAACAUGGUUUGCUUUUGCAGGUUAUGUCACAAUUGCUGCCAUUUCUACAACCACCGUUCCGCAUAUAUUUCCCGAACUAAAAUGGUAUUACAUAUUGGUUAUCUACAUCUUUGCCCCAGCCCUUGCAUUCUGUAAUGCUUAUGGUUGUGGACUCACUGAUUGGUCCCUUGCUUCCACCUAUGGGACGCUUGCUAUUUUUGUAAUUGGGGCGUGGGCUGGUGCCUCUCAUGGUGGAGUUCUUGCAGGACUAGCGGCCUGUGGAGUCAUGAUGAAUAUUGUCUCCACAGCCUCUGAUCUAUCUCAAGAUUUCAAGACUGGUUAUUUGACCCUUUCUUCACCUCGGUCCAUGUUUGUGAGCCAGCUAAUUGGCACUGCAAUGGGUUGCAUGAUUUCCCCGUGUGUAUUUUGGCUUUUUUUUAAGGCCUUCAAGGAUCUGGGGACUCCUGGAAGUCAAUACCCUGCUCCUUAUGCUACUGUAUUUCGAAACAUGGCUAUAUUGGGGGUAGAAGGAUUCUCCUCUCUCCCAAAGAAUUGUCUCUAUCUUUGUUAUUGGUUCUUCGGUGCAGCAAUUCUGAUAAAUUUGAUCAAGGAUGUGUUGGGUAAGAAACGGGCUAGGUUCAUUCCCAAUCCAAUGGCAAUGGCUAUACCUUUCUAUAUUGGCUCAUACUUUGCCAUCGACAUGUGCGUGGGAAGCUUGAUUCUAUUUAUCUGGGAAAAUAUUGACAAGGCAAAGGCAGAUGCUUUUGGGCCAGCAGUGGCUUCUGGUUUGAUUUGUGGGGACGGGAUAUGGACUUUGCCUAGUUCGAUACUUGCUCUAGCAGGAGUAAAACCUCCCAUUUGCAUGAAGUUUUUGUCAAGGAGAACAAAUUCUAAGGUCGAUGCGUUCUUGGGGUCAUAAAUUUGAAGUUCAGAUCAACUUCAAAAGAAACUGUGAGUUAGAGCUGAAUUGCUUCCCAGACUAAGGUUAUGAAGUUUACAUAUGAAGUUCGACUAAAAAAUGCUGUAGAUAAUCACCUGCUAUUUGUGGAGUCAGCAACUAGUUUCUCUAUAAUCAUUUCUGGAGAAGAAAAUCAAAUGUCCAUUUACUUAUAUAUGCUUGUUAGUCGAUCCUUGGAAAUAUGCUUGUAGUUUUUUUCUUGUCUAUUUUGAAGAAGAUAGUGGAACAGAUGCAUCAAACAAUGUGCAAACGGAAAAUCACUGUACCCUCUGUGAACUUUAAACAUAAUAUCAAAAGUGAAUGUGCAAAUAUUACAGGUUGCAGGCAUGUUUAUUUUGAACAUAUUGCAAUUAUCGUUGUUGAUUUCUUCUUCCUUGUUCGUAUCCGACCUUCCAGAAUCACACCCAAGACCGCUGUUGUUAUCCUGGGUUGCUGCUCUACUGCCUUCAAUUCCUCAGCUGUUGUUUUGCUGUUUGAUGUUAUCACAGCUUUUGCACCAGUAUGUAUUAUCUUUGGAUUUUACUCAAUCUGGUAAGGUUAUGAUCAGUUGCUAUAUUUGGUAUCAGGUUUGCUCAUUUUGCUGGCUUUGGUAUCAGGUGGUCCAACGUGGCAUUAGUAUGGCCUUCCGGAACUGCUGUGUUCUUAUCAGUCUCUCACAAUAAAACCAUGCCAGAAUUAGUUACCCAACAGGGAAAAAAACAGGAAAGAAAAAAAAAAAAAACAUCAGAUGCAUCGAGAAAGACGAUAAAAGCUUCAGCGAUGAGACUUGUAACUAUCUAAACAGCCGAUCAAAUAAGUUUGAAGUGAUUGCUUGUGUAAUGAUUAUCUUAUUUUAUCUAGGUUUGUCCUAAGAAUAUGAAAGGAGUUGCAAAUAGACAAGCAUUGCUGUAUUUUUAAUGGCAUCUAAGCCGUAGGAGUAAGUGAACUGCAUAAACAGGUUAUCAUUUGGAUCAAACGUUGAUUUUGAAAAUAUCCUAAAAAUAAUUUUAUUUAUUUUAGUUAAACAAAUUUAAAUUAAAAUAAACACAUAAAUAAGAGCUCAUAAAAAUAACUCAGAAGCCUUAGCCUACUGACCCAACUUUGGCUAAAUAACACCAGGCUAGGCAUGCAUCGCAAUGGUAUGAAUACAUUUUCAAGUAUUAAGAUUUUGUUAAUUAAAAAAAGCAAAAAUAUUGUUUAUAUUUAAUAAAAUAAAUAUAAAAAAUUAUGAACCAAUAAUCUAAGAAAGAGCUUAUUCUAAUUAUAAAAUAAAAUAGAAAGAUAAUCUUUCCCUUAAGAGCAAAAGUGUAUAAAUAUACUUUUUUUUUAAUUUAUAUAUAUAUAUUUUAAUUUAUUUUAUCUUAGUUGUUGCUCUUACCAACAACAAAUGGCUUAUAUUUUUAUAAAUAAAUCAUGCAAAUACAAUUUAUUUUUAUAAAAUAUAAAAGAAACAAAAAUUAAAGAUAAAUUACAAUAAUUUCUUUGAAACAUUAUAAGAAUACCAAAAAAAAAGCAAAAAAAUAUAUUUAAGAAAUCUGAACUAAACUAUUUUAAAAAAUAAAAGAGAAUGUAUUAAUUAAAAUUCAAAUAAAAAAUAAUGCAAAGAAUAAAAGUACAUAAAAAAGGGUAUUAAUGAAAAAAGAAAACAAGAGAAAAUUAAAAGAAAAAAAAAGAAGAAGAAGAAGAGCAAAUCAUACUAGGUCUUGCAAGCUACCAAAAAGCCCAGCUAUUUUUUUUUAGUUGUUCGUUCCUUUAUUAUUUUUUUUAUACUAAAUUAUGAUAGUGUUUGUUUUUAUGAUAAUAUCAUAUUUUUUAAAAAUAAUUAAAAAAAAAUGUUUUAAAUUAAUUAAUUAAUUAUAUAUAUAUAUAUAUAUAUAUAUAUAUUAUUGAUUGUUUUGGUAUGCUAUCAUCAAAAAUAAUAUUUUAAUAUAUUUAUAAGUAAAAAUAUUUUAAAAAACAACCACUAUCAUAAUACCAAAUAUUAUCAACAAGUAUUUUGUUACGGGGAUGAUUUAUUAUCAUCUAAAUUAUUUUCUAGUUAUCUCUGGAAAUAAAAUAAAAAAUCAGUUUUAGAACCCCAAAAGUUUAUUUUUGUUGAAAUUUAUCCAAAUAUUUGGCAAAAAAAUUGUCAGAAGGUGCAUUUUUUAACACUAAACCCCAAAAAACCCUGCAUUGUUUCCUCUUUUAUCAAAUCUGGUCCCUAAAGUUUUUGUUUUAGCAUGCAACGUAACAAGAUUAAUUUGUUUUUGCAAAAUCAAGCAUGGACCAAAUAUGUUAGUAAAAGUUUAAAAGAAUAAUAAUAAAAAUAAAAAUGUUCACAGCGCAUCUGCUCACAAUCCACAUAGUAAUCCUAAACCCCUGGAGGUUUUUUUUUUUUUUUAAUGUGUUAAGUGAUAAGUAGUUAAAUAUAAGUUUAGAACUAUUAAAAGAUUAGUCUAGAAUGAAAAGAAUAAUCAGCACGUCAUUUCAUAUAAGACUAUUGUACGAUUUUUUAAAAAUAUAUAAAAAUAAAAUUGCUCUUUGUCCGAAGAUUAGAGUCUUUCAAAUAUGCUUCGUUCAUGUUCUCAAUAAAUCCCUCGUGUGAAUAUUUAGUCUUAUGAUAGCUAGCAGGUAGCUUGCGUUUGAUUUUUUGUUGUCUACCACUAACUUGCUUGACUGUCUUAAUUUAAUAUCUGCCAUCGAUUUCCAUAAAUGGUAAUAUAAGAGAACAAAAGGAUCAUAUAUGGGCUGCUUGCUGUUAUAGUAAAUUAAGGGCACGUGGAGACUACAUUAUUUUACGAAGAGGCCUCUGUUUGUUUUUCAGUGUGGACUCCAAGUGAAAAUACUGUGGAUUUGCAUGGUGUUUUUAUUUUUUUUAUUCUAUUAUCAAACUUUAUCAUUUUUAACUUCUUUAAUUUGUGUUCAUCGGUGAUUUGGCCUCGUAACUUAUUUCGUGCUACUAAUUUUAAGGUCUCGGUGGUCUUUUAAAAAAUAAAAAUACUAACCUCUUUUUGAAAAACAAAAUGCGUCAAUGCCUUUUUGGAAAAUUUAGGCUUGGGAUUUUGUCAAAUUUUAUUUUUCAUUUAGUCUGAAUAUUAUACAAGUCAGUCCAAUGCUUCAUUAUUUUUAUAUUUUAGUUUCUAAACUGAGAGGAGAUACAGUUGUCCAAAAACAAUAAAAAAGAGAAACAUGAUGGUUGUUCUAACUUAAUUAACAAAAAUAAUCAAAUUUGAUAUUAAAGUGUUUAUCUUGACAAGAAAAAUAUUAUUAAAGUGUUUUUAAACUUUUAUAUAAGGGUUGAGAGAGGUUUUUUGUUUUCAAUUUAUUUUUAAAUCAAUUUAGAUCUAUUUGAGCUGGGAAAUUAGUUUUUUAAGGCUAUACUAAUAUUUUUCAAGAGUUUCUAGGUGGGUUUAGGUUGAAAAUUGAUUUUUUGACUAAAAAAUUAUACAACUUGAUUUUUUGACCGUUUCUAUUUUUAUAAUGGUUAAAAUUUAGAUUUACAUCUGACACGUUAUCUACUUAUUAAUCACACAGGCCCACACUUGUAAUUUACUUUUUGAAAAAAUAUUUUUUUAACAAUAUUUAUUUUCUAAAAAAAGUCAUUGAUUCAAAAUAUAAUAUAAAUAAUUUCGGUUAAAUUCUUAGAUUUAUUAAGAAUGUCAUUUUAGAUAUUAUUUUAAUAGAUUCCAUUUAAUUUUUGUGUUGUUCUUGAACAAUCAUUAUUUUUAAAAAAUUCAUUUUAAUUAUUUUUUUAUUUAUUUGCUUGCUAUCAUAUAAUUAAAUAAAAUAUAAAUUUUUUAAAUUCAAUUGGACCCUAACUUAUGACCUAUAUUAAAAGUUUGAUAAGUUAAUUAAGAUUAAUAUGAUAUAUUACAGCUUUAAUAUUAAGAAAAUAAGGAUGUUGUUUUGAAAAAAACAUUUUAAUCAAAUCAUUAUUUUAAUAAUUUUUUAAGUUUUUUUUAUAUGGAUAAAAAUAAUCAAGUCAUAUCAAAUUAAUUAUUUAAUUUAAACUUGAGAUUGAUAAAGAUUCGAAUAAGAAGAUUUCAACCUAGAUGAAUUGAAUUGUGUGUAAUGAGACUUACAAAGUGUUUCUUUUAAUAACAUGCGACCUUUGAAAUGAUGAUUGAAUACUGUCUAAUAAAUAAAUGGUCUAGUGGAAUUUAAAAACAAAAAGUAGCACAUUAAUGAGACAAAUGAGUUUUAGUUAGAUAACUGUAUUUUUUAUUUUUAUUAAAAUCAUCAGGAUUUUUUUUUCCGGGUAUAUAUGUGGAAAGCUUUUAAUUUUUACUAAAUAAAUGACAUAGAAAAAAUGUUAUGUUUUUAAAAAAUUAAAGAUAAUAAUUAGAAUAUUUUUUCCAUUACUCUUCUUAUAAAAAAUAUUUAUGCCCUAUAAUUAAGUUAAAAAUAAUUAAAAAAAUUCACAGCAAAUGAUCAAAUAUUUUUAUUGCGUUUAUCUCUUUUCUUCACAAACUAGUUUUUAGUUAAUAUUAAAAUAUAUUUUAGCAUUUAUAAUUUUUAAUCUAUUUAAUUAAACAUAUCCAUCAAAUUUUAAGUUAAGAAAUAAGAUUUUUCUUUAGCUAGCAUUAAAACCUCUUAACUAGAUUAUUCCAUGUUGGAUAUUAUUACAAACAAUAUGAAUAGUUCAUCUCCUACAUCAGUUUGUUAUAUUUAACAAAAAUAAUAAUAAUUUUUGUUAGAUAUGAAUCUAAAAUUUAAAAUAAAAGAAAAUCAACAAAUUAAUAAAAUAUUCUUCCUUAACUGUGAGUUUAAUUAUUGGGGAUUUUUUUAUUCUCCAAUUAAUAUUGUGCAAGAAUCCUAGCUAGCAAAUAUUAUGGAAAUUAAGUUGAACAGUCGAAGGUUUGGUACAGCCAUGAUUUUUCGUUGGCUGCGGUGGCCAUGGACAAAUAUAGCAAGCUCCUCAAUUUCCAUUUUUGCAGGCUUUGAAUAGUAGAUUUCUGGCUGGACCAUCCAUCUUCUUUCCCACAUGUAUCAAGUCAAAAGAUACCUUUUAUAAGAUCAUGUUUAGUCUAUUCUUUAUUAUUUUUCGUACUUUACGGCCGCAUUUAGUCUUUGCAUGCACAAUUUUAAGAUUUAGGGUUUAUUUUUUUAUUAUAGGCCAGUUGUUUUCCCAUAUAUACGUCAAGACCUAUUUAAUUCAUUGCAGAAAUAACUUUGAUUUGUUUUUUCUAAACAUAGAAGAGUAAAAGCCUCUGCAUCCCUGUAGUUGUUGUUAUUUUUUAAAGUAAUUUUAAUUGAAAAAUAUAUUAAAAUAAUUUUUUUUUUAAUUAAGGUAGUCAUUUUCUUUAGUUAGAGCUAAUAUAUAAUCUAUUUUGAUAGAAAUAUCUAGGACACAUUGAUUUGAUUUUUAAUGAUUAAAAUCUCUUUUGACAUAGUCAGUGCAUAGUUAUAAUGUUUUACGUAGUUUUUUUUUUCAAAAAAUAGAUAGUUAAUAGCAAUACAAUUAAAACAUUUGAGGUGGUGGAAGUGUGGAACAAUGAACCUUUUGAAGCAAUCCCUUACUGGGAAGAUGACACUUUUAUCAAGACUUGGACAAAGUUUAAUUAAAAAGAGAAAGAAGUCAGUUAUUUCAAUUCAGUUGACAAAAUAACCAAACCCGAUGUAAAAGUAUUCAUUAGGAUUAAUAUUUUUAUUUAGUUAGCAUUAAAACCUCCUAUCCAAAUGAGGCCCAAGUUGGAUACUAAAACGUUUGAUUUCCUAAUUUUCUUUCAAAUAUAAGGAAUAUUCUCAUAUCACCUUGCUUAUAUAUUUAUCAAAACUUUUUGUUUUUACAAACAAUAUUAAAAGCAGGGGCAGAACAAAAAAAAUUAAAAGAGAUCAAAAUAUUAGUUAUUUUAUUAUUUAAGCUAAAUAUAUUAAUAUUAUAAAAGGAGGGGCUGAAAAAAUAAAUUUCUUGUAGGGGUCCCUUGAUUAAGGGUGCAUGUCAUACAUCAAUUUGUUAUAUUAAAAAAGAUUAAUAAAUUUUCUUAUAUAUAUCAAUACUAAAAAUUAAACUCAAAAAAUCAAAAAAUAAAACAUACUUCCAUAACGGUGAGUUUAAUUAUUGGGGUUCUUGAUUUGUCAAUAUUGUGCAAGAAUCCUAGCUAGCAAAUAUUAUAGAAAUUAAGUUGAACAGUGAAGGUUAGGUGCAGCCAUGAUUUUUCGUCGGGCGCGAUGACCAUGAGAAUACCACUACUAGUCUAAAGUAAAUUAUUGGGAUUUUUAAAAUCAAUCUUUCCACCGUGGUUUUUUUUUUUUUAAAAAAAAAAGGUUAAAUCAAGACCUUCUCGUAAGUCAGAGAUAAUAUAACCUAUCAUGAUAGAAAUAUCUAGAACAUUGAUUUUAAUUUUAAUAAUAUAUUAAAAUUUCUUUUCACUUAGUCAGUGGAUGGUUAUAAUUUUUUUUUAAUUAGUAGUAUUUGUUUUUCAAGUGUGUGUAUAUAUAUAUAUAUAAAAAGGAAAUUGAAACCAUUAAUUUUAAAUUUUAAAAUGAAUUAAUCUAAUAUGAUCAAACUACCGCAUUAAUCCAAUAAGAAUUUUAAAUAUUGGUUAAAAAGAGUUCUAAAUAGAAAUUCUUUUAGACUAAGAAAUCUUCCUCUAAUUUAAUUAGGAAUCCUUCUUCUACAAUUCAAUUCAAUAUACCAAAUAAAAUGACAUUGAAUUUAUUUUCCACGAAUAAGACUCAAGUUUAGAUGCACAAAACAUAAUUCUCGACCAAAAAAUAGUGUAGUAAGAGUUCAGCUCAACAAUUAAGCAUGUCCAACUCAACCGAAUGGCUUGAUUCCAAAAAUUCACAAAUCUAAAUAAUGCUAUUUCUUUUCCUGCAUAAAUCCUUAUAUCACUUUCGGAUCUGGACUUUGUAAGCGUGGCAGCCAAGUCAACAGUCAAUGGGCUCAUUUAAGGUGAAAAUCUUUAAAUCGACAUAUCAAAAUGAAUUGUGUGUUCAGAUUGAAGAUAUGAUUGGUUUUUUUAAAAGAUAUAGUUUUUUAAAAGUAUAAAUUAAUUAAAUCUAACAAAAAUAAAAAAUACAUAUUUUUUAUGUGGGUCUCACAAAAAAUACCAUAUAUAUCUCUAAGCCAAACACCCUUAGAAACCAUUGAAAUCAUGAAAUGGUCUUAUUGGUUUCAAUUUUCCAAACAUCUUUUAUAUAUAUGUAUAUAUAUAUAUAUAUAUAUAAUCAUUGAGUAUAUAUUAAAAAGUUUAUAAAACUAAAUAAAAAUAAAAUACAAGGACAUAAAAAAAAAACUCAAAUGGCAAGAAAAAGUUGUCCAGACACAAUUUUCUAGAAACCUUAAAUAAGGGCAUUGAUCAAAUUUGUCCCCGAUGACAAAUAAACUCCCAAUAUAGCACUUAUUUGGCCUUUUAAGACUUUUCAUAUCACGACUAAUUCUUAAUCGGGUGGUUCACUUUAAGUGGUGUAGCAAUUACAGUUAAAUUCGCUUAAUGGCCUUUAAGACUUUUCAUAGAAGGCCAUUAAUACUCAACUAAUUGAGUUCUGUUUUUUUUUUUUAAAACAAAACUGUUUUAAUUUUUUUUUUUAAUAAAGAGUUAAUCUAGAUUGAACUGUAGAGACACCAGUUUUGACCCCCCCCUGGUGAGACAAGUACUUUUGUCGAGCAAUAAUCACAGCCACCUUAUUUAACACUCUCCCAACUUUCGUAGCUUCCGCAAAGAAUUUUUUUUUUUAAGAAAAGAAAAUGGAACGUAAUGGCAGAGAUGACAUCGAGGUAGAGAAUGGUUAUGAUUUGGAGGAUGAUCAUGGUCACAGAAAGAAGGACAAGAAAGAGGAACAACAAGAAGAGUUGUCAGUGGAAAGAACAUUUGAGAAUCAAGAAGUGCCAUCAUGGAGGAAUCAGCUGACACUGAGGGCCUUUGUGGUGAGCUUCGUGUUGAGCAUUUUGUUCACCGUCAUAGUAAUGAAGCUCAAUCUUACAACUGGUAUCAUACCUUCCCUCAAUAUCUCUGCUGGCCUUCUGGGCUUCUUUUUUAUCAAGACCUGGACAAAGUUUCUUGAAAAGUCUGGCCUUUUGAAGCAACCCUUUACGAGGCAAGAGAACACUGUUAUCCAGACCUGUGUGGUUGCCUCCUCUGGCAUUGCCAAUAGUGGUACACUUUCUGUACUUCUUACUGCCAUUAAUUUUCAUUUCAUCUCUCAAUUAUUCUUAAAAUCAUUUUUUUUCUCUGUUCUUUCUGAGGUGAGGAGAUAUCUAGGCUUCUUUGAUCAAGAUAAUAUUUCUAUGCAUCUGGUUUUGUUUCUGUUCUUAAUUGUUGCUAAAUUCAAGUAGUUGCUAAAAUUCAAUGCCAAGUUUUCCUUCUUCUAAUUGGUAGAUUACAAGAUGAGGCAGCCGGUUUUUUCUCUCUGUCCCUUUCAUCUCAGAUGUGAGAUCUUUGAAGACAAUAAUUUCUUACUGCCUAAAGUCUUUGAGAGACAAAUCAAAAUUGAGGUUUUAUGACUAACAUUGUGCUAUUGUUUCAGCCACUCGUUACUAAACUACUCAACACUUGAACUUGCUGUUAGAGACAUGAACAAAUCUACCUUAGUGAAAAAGUUUGAUGAGUGUCUUCUUUAAAUGAUCUGUAAAUUUUCUUUACUAGCUUCCUCCCCGUCUCCUGGAGUGUGAUAAUGGUGUUGGGGGUGGCUGCUUUUUAUUUUUCAUCUAGUGUUUUUUAUGCAGGCAGAAGCAUAAAGACAGUUCAACAAUUACAGAGAAGACAAAUUUGUUGAGCGAAAAGAACUGCAAGCUUGAUCUCUAAAUUUACAAAAUAAUAUCAUAACCUUAAAAUAUAAAAGAAAAUAACAUAAAAUUCAAGAGAACACAAAAAAAUCCAGGAAAUGAAGGAAAAGUUUCUAUAUUAGAUCUUCCAAGUCUAAUUUCAAUAAAUUUGUAUAGUGGAUAAACUACAAAAAGAGGAUUUUUCAUGGAACUUUGGUCUAGAAAUUUCUUGUAAAUUACAAAUUUAAGUCUGAUUCAACUCGAAUCAAGAGUUAUAGUUGUUUUAAGUAACUAUGCAAAUCUCGCUAAAUCAAAUUUUUUUUUAGGGCUGACCCUAUCUUACUGUACAUAAAAAUAUAUGUUAAAUCAUACAUAUAGUUUUUAGCUGUGAACUGCUAAAAACUUUUAGUUUUGGGUGACAUGUCAGCAUCAGUUUUCUUGGGUUUCUAAUGCCCCACCGGGCAUAAAGUGCGACUGGCUGAGAUGGUUAACUUACUAAGUUCAAAGUUAUAUCUGUAAGUCUUAAAAUAAUAUUUUGAUUAGUGGAAAAACAAGCCUUCUCCAUUAGUAAACGAAAAGAAAACGAGAAUAAUUAAUCAACCCUUUUACUGUAGAUUUUCCUAUGUUGAACUUGUUCAUUGACCGAGAAUCAUUAACAUAAUGUCAAGAUGAAUACGCUAUAUUUCUAAAUAGUCAAGACAAGAUUAAAUGCCAAACUUGUUUUGAAACUGAAAUUGUUGUGAUAAAACAGUUAAUUUGUAUGAUCAUGUUGAACUCGUUGAAUUUCGUACUAAUGGUUUCCUUACAAUAGGAGGCUUUGGGAAUUAUCUGUUUGGAAUGAGUGAAACCGUGGCCAAACAAUCAACAGAUUAUAGAGAUGCCUUUAAAAAUCCAUCUCUGUCAUGGAUGAUUGGCUUUCUGUUUGUUGUUAGCUUUCUUGGACUCUUUUCAGUGGUGCCUCUUCGAAAGGUAGACUUCUCCACCUCUAUAACCAUUCAAUUUCGUCAUGUGAUUAUUGGAAAUAGAACACUUUUCUCUGCAUUUUCCGUUCUUGUCGACUGUAUUGAUUUUGCCAAAAUCUAAACUUCAUUGUUACCCUGGUUAUUUCCAGGUCAUGAUUGUAGACUUCAAAUUGACAUAUCCAAGUGGCACUGCAACUGGUCAUCUCAUCAACAGCUUCCACACUCCUACAGGGGCCAAGCUAGCAAAGUAAGGCAUUAUCAGAUCUCAUGCACUUAUAGUUGGAUGAUCAUUUGGCAACUAAAAGUAUCGUACUUUGUUUUUCUACCAUUGCAGGAAACAAGUGAGGGUGCUGGGCAAGUUCUUCUCAUUCAGCUUCUUGUGGAGUUUCUUUCAAUGGUUCUACACUGCAGGAGAUGGUUGUGGAUUUGCUGAGUUCCCCUCACUCGGUCUUAAAGCAUAUGAAAACAAGUAAAAGCAUUACUCCACCUUCAAAAAAUUUAUCAUCCUACUGAAUGUAGUUCAAUUUAUAUUGCCAUUGUGUUUCAAAUUCGUUGUGGUAUCUUUGACUAAUGAUGUUCUUGUUACACGUACAGAUUUUUCUUUGAUUUCUCAACAACAUAUGUUGGAGUUGGAAUGAUUUGCCCAUAUAUCAUAAACAUAUCAGUAUUGCUUGGAGGAAUUCUUUCCUGGGGUCUCAUGUGGCCUCUCAUAGAUACAAAAAAGGGUGAUUGGUAUCCAGCAGACCUCAAACCAGACAGCCUAAAUGGCCUCCAAGGUUACAAGGUAAGUUUUCUAACAAGGUUAAGGUGACAAGAGUGCCCAGUACAUGAUUUUUUACUUGUUCUUGAAGACUUUUCAAUCAUACCACCACUUAUGCAAUGUAUUCAGGUAUUUAUUGCCACUGCCUUGAUCUUGGGUGACGGUCUGUACAACUUCUUCAAGGUGCUAAGCCGGACACUCGUUGCCUUGUUUUCUCAACUUCGUGGGAGAAAUACAGUCGGUGCUCUCCUUGUUGCAGGCCGUUCUUCUCUCGAGAUCCCCACCGUCUCCUAUGAUGAGCAACGCCGCAACCAAUUCUUUGUUAAAGAUCAAAUCCCAACAUGGUUUGCUGUUGCAGGCUAUGUCGCAAUUGCUGCCAUCUCCACAGCCACCGUUCCGCGUAUAUUUCCCGAACUAAAAUGGUAUUACAUAUUGGUUAUCUACGUCUUUGCCCCAGCCCUUGCAUUCAGUAAUGCUUAUGGCUGUGGCCUCACUGAUUGGUCCCUUGCUUACUCCUAUGGGACGCUUGCUAUUUUUGCAAUUGGGGCAUGGGCUGGUGCCUCUCAUGGUGGAGUUCUUGCAGGACUAGCGGCCUGUGGAGUCAUGAUGAAUAUCGUCUCCACAGCCUCCGACCUCUCUCAAGAUUUCAAGACUGGUUAUCUAACCCUUUCUUCCCCACGGUCCAUGUUUGUGAGCCAACUAAUUGGCACUGCAAUGGGUUGCAUUAUUUCACCUUG
This 47021-nucleotide long non-coding RNA is filed under the name Populus tremula. Its description in RNAcentral is "long non-coding RNA (PTRE_LNC001287)". The record is from RNAcentral. Lineage: Eukaryota; Viridiplantae; Streptophyta; Magnoliopsida; Malpighiales; Salicaceae.